CAACAAGAACUUCUCAUUGUCCUCUUCAGCGACUUUUACCAACCGCUCCACUAAAUUCUUCUUCUCCUGAAACCCAAGGUUAUGGAUAUCAAUUUCACUGGCCUCGCCCUCGGAUCCCAUCAGCAAACCUCUCCUCAACCGAUUGUAGGUGGGAAGUUUCUCGAGUGCGGCCCAUUUCAAAGCUUCCUCAUCAUCCUCAUCCCUCGAAGAUCGGGAGAAAAUAUCCGCACCGGAGCUCCUCCAUAUCGAAGAACCGUUCCUCCUUAAACUACCACUGGCUCUAUAAAUGUCAGCAGUGGCCAUUGCAACCUGAAACGAAGAACCCUCCUGCAAGACCAACCAAAACCCACAAAAACCCAGAAAUCUUUCCUCAAAAGUCUGAGAAAGAAGCUCAGAGUUUUGAACCCUGGAGCCCAAAGAAGCUAAAAAUCAGAUACGCGUCCCCUUCCUCCCUUUUCUCUGCAUACCUUUGAACUGCUAAUACUUGAUGCCUUCAGAAUGGAGGGUUUAUAUAGGUGAUGGGUUGAACAGACCCUCAAGUUUUCUAACUUCUUGGUUUCCUAUGACUUUUCCUUAAAAAAAAUUAGCGGGGAAAUUGAAUAUAUAAGCUGCUGGGUAACGAUUCCAACGACUUUGACCCGUCAAAUUCUUAAAUAAAACACUUCUAGAGUUUCCCAAUGGGAACGCGAUCUGUUUAAAGCUUCCCACCGGCCAAAUGAACAAACUUUUUCCUUCCAACUGUUGGGUCCAGGAAGGUUCCUAGUGGACCCAAAUCCUCCAAAACUAUAUAUAUAUAUUUGGCAUUUUUUUUAACGGAUUAAAUACAUUUUUCCCGGCUUUUGCACAUAUGUCUUCUGACGACUUUACGGAAAAUCCUUGGAGAAUUGUCCUUCUAGACGUUCUAAAACGGUAAUGUUUUGGUCAAACGGAAAGUCAACCAUGGAAAAUAAAGGUUUAACAGAUAGAUAACAAUGAUGUUUUUUUUUGUGCGCAUACCCUCUGACCUCACGAACACGCACGUUUCUAGAUUUCCUUGACCUUGUGAACACGCACGUUUCUAGAUUUCCUUUACCUUAUGAAUACGCACGUUUCAAUCUAUAGUAAUGAGUACGAGUAUAGAUUACUUUAAGUGGAAAAAUUUUCUAAAUGCUCAAGAGUUUGAUAAUAAUUUUAUAUUUCACAUUAUAUAAAUCAAACUUCCCUUUUAAAACACUCAUCUUCUUAUCUCUUUCAAAAAAAAAAAAUUGAGUUGAUAUCAACAAUCAAAAAUAAAUUUAAAAAUUUUUAAAUUAAAAAUAUAAUUAAAAUUUAAAAUAUAUAAAAAAAAAUAUUCACCCCAACUACAUUUUCAACGCUUUCUUAUUAUAUAUAUUUAUAAAUCCCAAAGAUUAUCUCAAUUUUAUUUUUAUAUUUUGACCUCAAUUUUGUUAAUAAAUUUUAAAUCUUAAUAACAUGUGUUUUUUUGGCCCACUCACCCUUUAAUUUUAAUUUUUAUUAUUUUAUAUUUUUUUAUUUUAUUAUUAUUAUUACUUACUACUACUACUAUUAUUAUUAUUAUUAUUAUUAUUAUUAUUAUUAUUAUUAUGUUUUAUUUUAUUUUUUUAUUUUUUUCUUUCUUUUCUCUCUCCUCUCUCUUCUCUCUUCCUACUCUCCAACUACCCCACCCACUGUCUCUCUCUCUCCUCCCAUACCCCUCAUCCCACAACCAUACCCCGAUUACCCCCCUCCUCCUCCUCCCAUUCAUUCUUCUACUAUGGCUGGCCUCCCAUUCCCCUUUCUUUUUUUUUUUUCUUUUUUUUCUUUCUUCUGCUUCUCACCCUAGGACACACGCACAGCCGGCCCAUUUUUCCCCCAUUCUCACCGGAUUCCAGAUAUUUUUCCUCUUCUCGGCUGACUCCCACAGUAGUCAACAACCCUAUCUCCCCACUCCGUUUCUCAGCUCUUUCCCCAUUUUUCCUUCACUCCACAGACGACCAUAGCUGGCUCCCCAGUUUUCUUGAUUUUUUUUAUUUUUAUUUAUUUUUAUUUUUAUUUUGGCUACCCAAACACCACAUCUCGUCGACCCCGAUUCUCUUCUUCCUAUUUUUUCUCUCAUUUUCUCCAUUUUUUUCUCAUCUCUCUCCUUACUCACUCUCACAUGAUUGGAGCCCCCCAUUUUCUUCUUCCCCAUUUUUCAUUUUUGUUCUCUAUCCAAACACCCACUUGCAGAGACACAGGCUGACCCAUUUCUUCUCUUCCAUUUUUAUUUUUAUUUUUUAGUAUCUCCCUUUUUUUUAUUAUUAUUAUUAUUAUUAUUAUUAUUAUUAUUAUUAUUUGUUUUUGUCUUUCAAAAACACCAUCAACCCUCAUUGCGCCGGUCGGCGACCCCCUCUCAUUUCCUCUCAUUCCGUCACUUUCCUAUCCCACUCACUUUCCAUUACUAUUAUUAUUGUUAUUAUUUUUUAUUUGAUUUUAUAAAUAAAAUUGAAUAAUGAUAAAUAAAAUUGAAUAUAAUAAUAAUUGUUAUUAUUAUUGUAUAUAAUAAUAGUAAUAACAAUGAUAAAUAAAAAAUAAAUAAAUAAACAAAAGAUAAAUAUUGAGAAAGAGUUGAAAAUGCAUUAAGAGUUAACAUAUAUAUCAUUUCUAGGAUUAAAGUUUUUUUUUUUUUUUUUACUUUUUAUUGUAUUUUUUAUUUUUAAAAUCUUUUAUUUUAUUGUUUAGGCCAACCAACAAAAUUUUUAUUCAAUUUUUUUUAAAAGAGAUAAGAAGAUGGGAUGUUUUAAUCAAGAAUACUUGAUUUAUAUAAUGCAAAAUAUAAAAUUAUUAUGGGAGGAUUUUUCCACAUUGACUUGCAAUCAAUAUUAUAUAAUUAAUAAAUUAAUAAAUAUAUUUGUUAGUAAGAUAAUUUUAAUAAAUUUAUAAAUAUAUUUAUUAGCAAGAUAAUUUUAAUAAAUUAAUAUGAGAAAUCAAUUUUAUGAUAAUUUUAUUUAUUAUUGUCAAAUUUUUAGUAUCUAAAUUUUUAGGAGAGAUCAUUAAGAGGAUCUAGUUUUGCAUGAUUUUAAUAUUUGAUCCCUAGUUUUAUUACUAAAUAUGAGAUUAUGGUUCUAGGAAAAAAAAAAUUCUAAUGUUAGAAAUUUGAAAAUAUAUAUAUAAUUACUAGUCAUUAUGCAUUUAAUGCAUUGACAGAUGAUCACUUAGGCUUACAUCCUUAAUCAGUUGAGCAAUCAAUUUGACGGAAACUCAACUAGUCAAAGCUUUAACUACUAGAAAAGAGAAAAAUAACAAAUGUGUCUUGAUUUAUCAAGUCUAACCUAUUCAACAGAUUCCUCAACUCCUCAAUCGUAAAUGGCAUGGUUUAAGGUCUAAAACCUCCAAUAACUUACGUUAACCUUCUUAAAACUUUUCAAGAUAAAUUUAAAAGUAAUUUAGUUCAAGGUUUUAAUUGAAAAUAAAAAAUCGUCCAAUUCUUUGAUAUAUGUAUAAAUGAUCUUAAUUUUACACAACAUUUUAGGUUAAUUUAAGUCUUCAAGGAUCCUAAGUCUUCCAUGAUUGCUUGAGCUUUCUUUGGAUUUUCAAUAGUAAACUUAAAACUUAAUUUGAUUUAAACUAUUAGUAAUUUUAACUUUAUUUUGUAAUUAUAAUUAAAAAAACCUAUUAGGAGAAUCCUUGGGCUAAUAGUCUUGAUGUUUGAUCUUUAAGAUUAUUCAAUUCCAAAAAGAAAUGGGAGGAUCAAGGAUUUUUGUUGGUUGAAGGAGAGUGAGAGGGGCUAGCCAUGUCAAACAACACACUUUUGAUGCCUUUUGAUAAGGGUUAUAAUUGGUUAAAUUGGUCAAAAUAACCUCAAUAUUUGCAAAUUUAACCCACCUAUCAAAAAGUUAAAAAAUAAAAAUAAAUAAAUUGUUGAUUGAGACAAAAAUGCCCUUCCUUUUAUUUCCCUCCAACACUUACAACUUCUCAUCUUCUACUUCAUUUAACCUUCUACAAAAAAAACUCAUCAUCUUUUUCUUCAAAAACCAUAAAAAAAUUCUCAUCAUUUUCUUCUACUUCAUUAUCUUCUUUUGGUGUAUAGAAAGGAAAGCUUAUCUUCUAUUCUGCUUCAUUUAUAGAACAACUUCUCAUCUUUUAUCUUCUUAUUUAUUUCAUUCUCUCCAUUUGGUGCAUAGAACGGAAAGCUCAUCUUUCCUUUAGAAGCCCUAGAAAAUUUCUCGUCUAUCAUCUCAUUCUCUAUUUCAUUCCCAAUCCUUAGAAAAAUUAUCUCAUCUCAUUUUAUCCUCUAGUCUAUCCUCUUAUCCUCUCAUCUUUUUGUCAAGGUAUCUCAUAUUGUAUCUUCAAGCACGAUAAAAAAAUAAGUUCAUUGAAGAGUGAUAAGAGAAAAAGAUUAAAAAUGGUGGUGAAAAAUCAAAAAUCACAAUUGCGAAUAGAAAAAGCAAAAAUUGUGACUAUGAACUUAACUGUGGUUAAGUACUUUAUUAAUGCAACUCAACUAUUGUUAAGUUCAAGUGAAAAUUCCGACUAUGAACUUAACCGUGGUUGAGUUAUUUGUUAAUGCAACUCAACCACUAUUAAGCUCAGGUGAAAAUUCUAACUGUGAACUUAACUGUGGUUAAGUUAUUUGUUAAUGUAACUCAACCAUUGUUAAAUUCAAGUGAAAAUUCUGAUUGUGAACUUAACUUUGGUUAAGUUAUUUGUUAAUGCAACUUAAUAAUAAUUAAAUUUAUAUUAAUGCAAUGACCGUUAACUUAACCAUAAUUAAACUUAAUCAAUUAAUUUAUAUGAUAAAACUAAAACAUUAAUUUAAAAUUUCAAUCUAUAAUUCAAAAAAAUUGCUUUAAGCAUAUACAAAAAAAUAAGCUCACAAAUCCCUUCAUGACCCUAUAUAGAAAAAUAAAUAAAUAAAAAUGUAGAUACAUAGUUAAAUCAUCCUUAAAAAACAAAUUCUAUUGUAGCAUUAUUAAAGUGACUGAUGAAUUGGUUGUAAGGGAAAUUCAUGGAUGUUGAUAUUGCUCUCAACAAUAUUGACACAACUAUAUUCAUCUCUAGGAUGUAAUAGGAUUGAUCGUUCGCAUGUUUUUCGAUUAUGCUCAUAAUCACCACAUCUACCACAACAUCAUGUGUGCUUAACCUCUCCACUUGAAUGAAUUCUCUCCUUUCUUGGUCUUCCUACUGGUCGUCAACUUUUUAAAGGUAGCACAACUCUACAAUGAAUGUCUUCCUGAAUGCAAUACACAACUCUCAUUAAUUCAUGAUAUGAUAUAUUCUUCUUCACCAUAAGGUCUUUACCUUCAUUUCCUUUAAAGUGGUAUAUGUUCUCAUCUGAUACCUAAUUCCCUUUAUACAAAAGCAUUAUUCAUACCUCAUCAAUGACUGCAAAAAUAAAUAUUUCAAAUUAUCAUAUUAAGAAUGAAAUAGUACAACAUAUGAAAUACUUUUAUUAAGUUUCAAUUAUAGACUAUGUAAUGAAUCUUAAAACAUAUAUUUAUAUUUUUAUUAGAUAACCCACUACAUAAUAAUAUGUCAACAAUUCAAUCUUAGUUUUCAAUAUAGUUAUAUAAAAAUAGACUUUUGCUUUGAAUAGCAACACAUAAACUCAACUUAUGUUAAGUUAAAUCUAAAAAAUAGUAAAAUUUGUUGUUCAAUGCAGCAAUGCAACACUUCCCAUAAAUCAAAUAUCCAAAGGAACAAUAUAUAACUACAAUAGGUAUUAAUCAUAUGAGCAAUACUAAAACCAUAAUAAUUUUUCAUGCAUGUGAUUUAUUGCUUACCAUCAUUUGACCUUGUCAUAUGGAUAAAUCUUUUUAACUUCUUUUGAAUGAACUUUUCACUUUUUCAUAACUAAUAAUGGAGUCUCUAUUUUCUACCUACAAUGGUGAAGUGAGGUUUUGAAUUUUUAGAAAACAGAAAGAAAUAAAAUGAUAAUCUAAAAAAGAAAUUGUUGGUUGCUUACAUUUUUUUUUUUCAUUUUAUCGUGAUCAAGAAUGAAGAAUAAAUGAAACAAUGGUAAGAACUUAGGCUUGUUCGCUACAGGAAAACAAAGAGAAGGAGCAACCAAUGAUUGAAUAAAAAAAUAAAAACCUAAUCUACUAUAAAAAUAGAACAAAAGGGAAAGUUAUAUUGGAGGGAAAAAUGAGGGGUAUUUUUGUUUCAAUUAGGUCAACUUUUUUGCCUUUUAAGGGGUGGGUUAUAUUUGCAAAUAUGGGUGUUAUUUUGACUCGUAUAACCAAAUAAACCUUUUAAAAAGGGUGACCAUGGUAUGAUGACCCUUUCUCCUUUCCUUUUGGUUUAUUUUCAUUUCAUGGCCACUUAUUAAGAUGAGUGUUAUUCAAUAGAUCACCGUAUGUUCUUCCAAAUAAAUCAUUCCGACCUGUCUAAGCUUUGAAGAUUUUGUAACUCCAACUUGGAAUCUCCUAGAAGCAUUAAAGAUUCUUAUGCUUCCCCAAAGGAAGAUAAUAGCUACAAGGGAAGUUUCCUAGUCUAAAAUGAAAUAUAAGAAGGGACCUGUCACUUCAUCUUUGAGGUUUGGACAUGAUGGAGGCAACAUUUUGUUUGGUUGGGGAGAAAAUGUAGGAAACACCUAUCAGGCAAACUCACCUAUCCAUACGAUUCUUGAGCUUUAACAAGAACUUCUCAUUGUUCUCUUCAACAAUUUUUAUCAACCGCUCCACUAAAUUCUUCUUGUCCUGAAGCCAAAGGUUGUGUAUAUCAACUUCAAAGCCCUCACCCUCUGAUCCCAGCAACAAACCUUUCCUCAACCGAUUGUAGGUGGGGAGUUUCUCGAGUGCAGCCCAUUUCAAAGCAUCCUCGUCAUCCUCACCCCUCGUAGAUUGGGAGAAAAUCUCGACAUUAGGGGUCCUCCAUCUCAUAGAACCAGCUCUACGAGUUUUAGGAGUCGACAUUGCAAGUAGAAAGGAAGAACUCUCUUGCAAAACCAACAAGAACUUGGCAAAACCCGAACGGUUGAAAUUAUAAUCCGAGCUAAAGUCAAACUAAAAGAAUUUUAGGAAUUUGAUAAAUAUUAAAAUUGUUAUUUAUUUAGAUUUUUAUGUUAAUUAAGACUUUUGGUAUAAUAGCAAUUGGAGUCUUGGUACAUUGGUUUAUUAUAAGUUAUCAUGUUGAAAAGAAAAAAUGCAAUAAAGUAUUAUUUUAGCAAAAAUAUUAUUAAUACUCAAUUGUGUGGGUUCCAACUGAAACCUUUCCAAAGAAUAUAAACUCCUUUUUCUCUCUCUUAGUACAAUGUUAUGUCUUGUUGUAUUGCUACUACUGCAUUGUAAAAAUCAUAUAGAAUGGAAGGUUUAUGUAGUUAUUGGUAGGACAGAAAAUGAAGCGGUUCAAAAGAUUUGAAACUAGUUUAUUUUCUUGUGAUUCUUUAAGCUAUGUUUGGUUUAUGGAAAGUAGUAAGGAAAGAAAAAAAAGUGUUAAGAAAAAUGGUUUUUUUAUGUUUAGUUUCAUAAUGAAAAAUAAAAAAGAAAAUAAAAUAUAAUUAAAAUUUGUUAAAAAUUUAUAUAUUUUAAAAUUAUUUAAUCUUUGUAUAAUAGUCGAAAAUAAGUAAAAUAACUUUGAAGAAAUAUAUUGAAGUAAUUUAUUAAAUUUAAAUUUAUUUAAAUUUUCUUCAUUUUUUUUUCUUUCUACUUUUCCUCUUUAUUUUUUUUCCUUCACAUUUUUUCUCAUAUUUUUUGGGAACCAAACAUAGCCUAGAAAAUUAGUGAGGGAAAUCGACUAUAAAAAAGUUUGUGCAAUGACUCCAUAAUAUUGUACGCAUGCCACCAUUUUUUUUUUCCUUUCAACUUCCUAUAUUAAGACUUUCACGGUUCAUAAUUUUUGGUUUCUUACACUUUCUUUAGCAAGUAAACAAAAAUGUGAAUUAUUGAAUGUUUUGUUAGUUUUUAAAAUAAGAAAUAUAAUACUCAAUUUUAUACAUGUUUUCAGGCAUGUUUGGUAUGUAAGUUAUGAUAGGAUAGAGUAUCUAUAUUCUAUAAUAUCAAAUAUGCAUUAAAUGAAAAAUGCAUAUUUUAAACUAUAAUUUCAAUGAGAUAUGAUAUAUUUUUUAUAUUAAAUCCAAUAUGAUAUUGUAAGAUGACAUAUCCAAUGCAUUUCCUAAAAUAAAUGAUUUCCAUAUAUUUUUUAAGAUUAUUAAAUCCAAUGGAUAUAAUAUUCUAAGGUAACAUAUCUAAUGAGAUAGGUAAUGUAACAUUAUGCUUAUAUUUAAUUUGUAAAAUGAAUAAAAAAUAAAAUGGAUUAUAUAUUAUUUUAUAACAUAUCUUCUAUUUUAACCAUAAAUUUAACUUUGCAAUAAAAAAAAAUAUUUUACUAAAUAAGUGAUAAAAAAUAAAAAAAUAAUAAAAGAAAAAUAAAUUUAUGAUACAUAGAAUAAUAUAUCUCACUACUUAUCCGAUGUAGAAGGAAUAUAAAAAAGAUAUAGAUAAUAUAUAUCACUACUUAUUCUACCAUAUGUUCCAUCCACCCAACCAAACCAUGACCUUACGAUAUAAAAAAAUUAAAGUUUAAUAGCAUCCACAUUAAUAAAAACAAACAAUUUACGAAUAUAAACCAAACAAUCAAACACUCAAAUGAUAUUUCGCUCUAUUUAGACUAAUGAAAAAUAAACAAUUUAAAUAUUAAAAAACAUUCCACUUUAUUAAGCUUUAAGGUUAGAAUCUUAAAAAAAAGUUGCUUUAAGAAUAUUUUUUAGAGUUAUUUCAAAGGAAUGGAAUUAUUUGUUUUUUUUUUUUUUUCAUUUAUGUCGUAAAGCAAAUUAUUUUAAAAUUUAAAAUCAAAAUAUAAAAAUUUUAUUUUUUAUAUUAAGAUAAAAUUGUCUUAUAAAAAGUAACAAGUUAAAAAACAAAUAAUUUUUAUAAUGACUUAAGUCUUAACACUAUUAAGCAUUAUUUAGAUAUAAGGUUUAUUUAAUUUUUUUUUUUAUAAAAAAAUACCAUCUUUCACAUAAGAUUUAAGUAGGUUUAACCUAUUCGAAAUUGCUUGAAAUCUAAGAGGUUAUUUGUUUUUUAAACUUAAAUCUUAAAGCUAGUUGCUUUAAAAUUUAAGAUAAAACUAAAUAAAAUAAAAUAAAAUAAAAACUUUUGUUAUUAAGACAAAAUUUUCUUUUAAAAAUGAUAAACUAAAAAGAUAAUUUGAAAAAUGACUUCCAUCUUAAAGCAACUCUUUUUAUUAGGAUUCCAUGUCUAUCCUAAUUAAAAUUAAUAAUCAACUUGAUUUUGAGUAAGUUUAUAUUAUUGUUAACCGACAUUAUUUUUCAAUAAAAGCAUUUGCGAAAACAUAAACACAUUUAUGCUUCAAUAAAUGGAAUACAUUUUUUAGUAAUAUAACCAUACUUUAUUUAAAAAAAAAAACAUAUUAGUCUAAUAAUCGAUAUUCAUAAUUGAUAAUAUCAUAUAUUAAAAAUUAUGAACGGUGAAUAACUAAUAUAUAUGGAUUAUUAAAGUAACGAUGAGCAUACAACCUAUGUAACUUGGUGAAAACUUUUUUGUCCAUCUGUUUUUGCUUUGCUUAUUAAAAAAUAAAUUAUUAAAGCAAUAAUGAGCAUAAAAAUUAAUUAAAACAAUAACUAUCACUCAAAUGAAGUAUUAUAGGCUCUAUUGAUAAUUGUUUUUAAAAACAAUUUUUAUUCUCCAGAAUAAAAAAACAAUGAAACAAGUUUGAUAAUAGAAAACAAAAAACAUUUUAUUGUUUUUUUUUAUAAAAAAAAGACAUUGUUUUUUCAAUCCUUUAAUUGUUUUCACUUUUUUUAAGGAUUACUAAAAAAAAUUAACCAAAUGAUUAAAAAUAAAACACUACAUGUAAAAAUUAUUUUAAACCAUAUUUAAAAAUAUAGAAAAUAGGUUAAAAAUAUUUUAGAUUUUUAAAUAGACUUUUGUUUUAUAAAAAAUCAAAUAACAAUUUUCAAAAAUUAUUUUUAAAAAUUGUUUUCAAAAAAACAUUUUUCAUAUAGAACCCUAUCCUACCAACUAUAUAUAUAUAUAUAUAUAUAUAUAUUCACACAAUGCUAAUGCUAUGAAAAGGUAAUGAUAAUAGAGAGUAGAGAAGAACUUACUAAAUUGAAGAUCGAACAAGUCUUAGAAAAACAUUGUCAGUAAGACAUGGGAUGAGAACGAUUUCAUAUAGCUACUGAGAUUGUCCUCAAAGUUACAGCUAGUAAAAUUGUCCUCAAAGUUGUUCUUCAAAAACAAAAAUACUAUAAAUGGUUGGAUCCAACCUUUCAAGGAAACCAAAGCCUUUUUUUUUGAUAAAGAGAUUUUUUUUUUCCCUUCUAAAAUGAACAUUCUAUAUAUAGAAUCUGAAGGUAUUAAACUGUGCCUCCAAGUAGUUUGACUGUAAAGUAAAAUUCAAUCCUAUGUGUUGAUUGUUCUUGUGGUUUGCUAAUUGGUCAGGCAAUCGAUCUUUCCUCAAGUGGUUUCCAUAUUAUCAUUUUUCAUCUUUUUCCUCAUCAUUUUUAUCCUUUUCCAUAAGUAAAAAAAUAUUUAAAUAAAUUAUUUCAUUAGCAAUUUGUUGAAUACUUGAAAAUAAAUUAAAUAAGAGAAGUAUUCACAUAUUUUUUACUUAAUUAGUCAUGAUGACAUUAAUAAUGAGAGUAAGGUAUAACCAAAUAAGACUAAGAUAGGAAAAAAAUGAGACCAAAAAAUUUGUCUCUAAAAGGUAUGAAAAAUUGAGAAUCAAAUAUGAAUUCAGGAGAUAUAGGUAUAAAUUUAACAAUAAAAAUGUUAAUUAUGCUUAAAUGUAUGAAUUUAAGAAAAUCUUAAAUUUUGCUCAUAAUUAUUCAUGAUCACGUCAAAUUUAUAUAUAGGAAUGGUUGANNNNNNNNNNNNNNNNNNNNNNNNNNNNNNNNNNNNNNNNNNNNNNNNNNNNNNNNNNNNNNNNNNNNNNNNNNNNNNNNNNNNNNNNNNNNNNNNNNNNAGCAAUGCAUAACCAAAUGGUACUAAGAUAGGAAAUAAUGAGACCAAAGAACUUGUCUUUAAAAGGUAUGAAAAAAUAAGAUUCAAAUACCAAUUAACUAGAUAUAGGUAUAAAUUUAAUAGGAGAAAUAUUAAAUACGCUUAAGGUUAUGUUUGGUUCCAGGAAACUAUUAAGAAAAGAAAAAAAAAUAUAAAGGAAAAUUAUUUUCUGUUUGAUUGUUUUAUGAAAAAUAUAAAAGAAAAUCAAAUAUAAUUAAAAUAAACAGAAUGAGUUUAAAGUUAUAAAUAAAAAUAAUUUAUCGACUUUUAAUUCUUUCGUAUUUUCCCACAAAUUUUCAUGGAACCAAACAUAGCAUAAAUGUAUGAAUUUAGGAAAAUAAAAAAUUUUGGCCAUAAUUUUUCAUCAUUUCAUCAAAUAUAUAUAGGAAUGGUUGAAAAUAAUGAGAGCAAUGUAUAACCAAAUGAUAUUAAGAAAAUAAUGAAAUCAAAUAAUUUGUCACUAAAAGGUACUGAAAAUGAGAGUCAAAUAUGAAUUUAUGAAAUACAAGUAUAAAUUUAAUAAGAGAAAUCCUAGUAAUGCUUAAAUAUGUGAAUUUUAGAAAUUCUAAAAUUUUGACCAUAAUUAUUCUCACAUCAAAUAUAUAUAUAUAUAGGAAUUGUUGAAAAUAAUGAAACCAAAAAAUUUGUCUCUAAAAAGUACCAAGAAAUGAGAAUCAAAUAUGAAUUAAUCAAAUAUAAGUAAAUUUAGUUAGAGAAAUAUUAACAAUGCUUAAAGAUAUGAAUUUAAGAAAAUCUAAAAUUUUAACCAUAAUUAUUCAUGAUUACAUUAAAUAUAUAUAGGAAGGGUCGAAAAUAAUGAGAGCAAUGUAUAAGCAACUGGGACUAAGAAAAUAAUGAAACAAAAAAAUUUGUCUCUAAAAGGUAUGAAAAAAUGAGAGUAAAAUUAUGAAUUAAUGAGAUAUAGGGAUGAAUUUAACAAGAGAAAUAUUAAUAAUGCUUAAAUAUAUGAAUUUAAGAAAAUCUAAAAUUUUGGUCAUAAUUAUUCAUAAUCACAUCAAAUAUAUAUAGUGAUGGGUGAAAAUAAUGAGAUCAAUGUAUAACCAAAUGAGACUAAGAUAGAAAAUAAUAAAACUAAAAAAAUUCUCUAAAAUGUAUGAAAAAAAUGAGGUUAAAUAUGAAUUAACAUAUGUAAAAAUUUAAUUAGAAAAAUAUUGACAAUCUUAAGUAUGUGAAUUUAAGAAAAUCUAAAAUUUUGACCACAAUUAUUCAUGAUCACAUCAAAUAUAUAUAGGAACGGUUGAAAAUAAUGAAAGGUAUAAUCAAAUGAGACUAAGAUAGAAAAUAAUGAAACCAAAGAAUUUGUCUUUAAAAGUUACAAAAAUAAAAAAAAAUGAGAGUCAAAUGUGAAUUAAUGAGAUGUUGGUAUAAAUUUAAUCAGAGAAAUAUUAAUAAUGCUUAAGCAUAUGAAUUUAAGAAAAUCUAAAAUUUUGGUCAUAAUUAUUCAUUAUCACAUCAAAAUAGGACGCUUGAAAAUAAUGAGAGCAAGGUAUAAUCAUACGAGACUAUGAUUAUCAAACUACUUCAAAAUCAAAAUCCUUAAUAGAAUCAAAUCAUCAAGAUGAUGUUAGUCUUUUUCAAAACAUUGAAGAAAAUCUAAGCCAAAGUUCCAAUGACCAAGAAAUAUGCAUAAAAGAUAGUUGCCGACCAAAGACCUUAAAAGUAAUCACUAAGGAAUAAGAAUUGAUUUUAGAAUUACUUAUUAAGGUUAAAGAUUCUUCAAUAAGAACAUAAUUAUGUGAAAUUUGUAAGAAAUCGAUUUCUAAACUAGAAAUGAAAAAAAAACUAUAAAACCUUAUAACUUCGAUGAAAUAUUGACAAGAUUUAACUAUAAUUCCCUAAAAAAGUGAUUAUUAAAGAUCUUCAAUAGGAAAUAAGAUGAUGUUAGAAGUUAGAGAAUUAAGACAAUGCACCAACAUAUGUUUAACAAACCUUCAAGAACAAAUUAAUUAGAUAGUAAGUAACAAGAAUUAAUUUAUCCUAAAAUCCUUAUAAGUUAAUGAAGAUUUAUCACACUUAUAUCUCAAUGUUAUAAAUAGGGUCAUCUUUAAAAAAAUGCAAUGUUUCCCUAACAAUUGUGAUUAACAAUGAGUUCAUCGCUAAGAUUAAUUGUUGUCUUAAUAGAUUCAAGAGUAGCUUCUUUAUGACAUGCUAUUAGGUCAAACUUAAGAUUAGCUACAAAUUGUCUAAGGCUCAUAUCAAUAAUCAAGGGAUAUGCACACAACAUUUAAUUUGGUAUAAGAUUUAAGAGAGAAAUAUCCUUGGAAUACCCUUUUUAAUUGUCUACCCUAUCACUAGAGUAGAUGGUAAAGGUAUAAGACUAAACUCUUAAAUCAAGAGACUCUUUUUGAAUUUGCAUAUCCUCUAAAAAGAAACCUAAAUAAAUUAAGAUCCUUGAUUAUUUCUAAAAAAAUAUAGGCUAAGGAUAAUCAUAUCAAUUUUUUAGUUCAAGAAGUUAGAUAUAAGAGAAUUGAAGAACAAUUGGAAGUUAAAAAGACUCAAGAUGCUAUCCAAUAAUUCAAAGAAAAGUUGGUUAGAGAAGUCCAUCCUAAAUUCCCUAAUGUAUUUUGGCAUAGGAAUGAACAUGUAAUAGAACUACCUUACAACCUAGAAUUUAGGGAAAAUGAUAUUCCCACUAAGGCAAGACCAAUUCAAAUGAUUCAAAAACCAUUGAGAUAUUAUGAAAAGGAAAUUUAAGAACUCUUUGAUAAAAAAUUAAUAAAGAAUCCAAAUCUCCUUGAAGUUGUGUAUGCGCAAAUUUCGUGAAGUCUUGCAAAACAACCAAAAACUAUAGGAAAAAUCUAUGUGAUCAAAACUUUAUAUUGAAAUUAAUUGAUUGUGCGGUAUAGACUCAAAUAUAAUAUUCUUUACAAAAAAAUAUUUUCCCUUUGAUUCAUUCACUUUGAUUACAAUCCCAAAGAUGAUGACAAGAGUCUUUUCUUGAUUAUUUUAGAAAAUCAAUCCAAGGCUUAGAGUGGUUUUUUCUUGAAUGAACUUGUUAAAUGGUGAAAAACACGUUUAUGCAUUUUCUCAUACUUGCAGGGAGAUUUUAUAAUAAUAAUAAAAAAAUUCUUUGUAAAGCUUUUUUUCCUAUGUGAAGUCCUUUUGCCAAUCUCUCUUUUCCUUGAAAGAAGUCACCUUUAUUUAUAGGUGAAGAUAGGAAAUUAAAUUUUGAAUUUCAAGAUUUGAUUACUUCAUUCAAGGAAUUUGGUUCCUUGAUUAUUUUCAUAACUUUUCUCCUUCCUCACUAAAGUUUUGUCAACAAGAUAAUAUCUAUUAUUUGGUUGGAGAUUUUUGUUCCCCUUUUUUUAGGAAACUUGUUAAAAAGAGAAUAUCUAUUUCUACUUCUCUUCGAUUAGAAGACUUAAUUUCAUAGUCUUCCAAAUUUUACUACGUGUUACCUUCAAAGUUGCAUGCCACAUGUCUAAUGACUUGUCAAGCCUAAAUUUUGUUGAAAUAUGAAGUUACAAUUUUGAAGUCCGAUUUAAUGGUAAUUUAAUCCACUAAAAAUUUGGAUAGCUACAAAUUUCUCUAUUGUUUAUGUUAAAAAACAAACAAAAUUUGAAAGAGGAACACCUAGGCUUGUGAAUAAUUACAAACCCCUUAAUGAAGCCUUAAGAUGGAUUAGGUAUCAUAUUCCAAAUAAGAGAGACCUUCUUCAAAGAUUAGUUAAUUAGUCUAGGAUAUUCUUUAAGUUUGACGUGAAAUCAAGCUUUUUUGGCAAAUCCAGAUCAUAGAAAAAAAACAUGUAUAAAACAACUUUUACAAUACCAUUUGGACAUUAUGAAUGGAAUUUAGUAUCAUUUGGUAUUAAAAAUGUCCUCUCAUAAUUUCAAAACAUUAUGAGGCAACUGUCCUAAUGAUGAACUCAUUGUUAAUUACAAUUGUUAGGAAAAUAUUUCAUUUUUGAAAGAUGAUCCUAUUUAUAACAUUGAGAUACGAGUCUGAUAAACCUUCAUUGACUUUUGAGGAUUCUAAGAUAUCUUGAUUUUUAUUACUUAAGAUCUUAUUAAUUUGUUCUUGAAGGUCACUUAAACUUAUAUUGGUGUAUUGUCUUAAUUCUUGAACCUCUAUGUGUGCGUGCGUGCGUGUUCUCAUAACAAUUGCAGCAGCUCUUGCAUCUAGCCCUGAAGUUGGCUCAUCCAUGAAUAUUAUUGAGGGAUUUGCCACAAGCUCAACUGCAAUGGUCAGCCUCUUGCGCUGCUCAGUUGAGAGACCAUUUACACCUGGCAACCCAACUAGUGUGUCCCUCAAUGGGGUCAGUUCAACGAGCUCCAUGACUUCCUCAAUGAACAUCUGUAACCAUUAGCAAGGAUUAGAAAUUGUUUGAACCGGCACUUUUCCCCAGAGUGAAGCUCAACCAAUUUUGGGAUGAUGCACACUAAGCAAGGCUUCCAAAAUUCUGAACAAUCAAAGCAAGUGAUUCUACAAUUCAAAGCAUAACUGCUUCAUUUGGAUAUGAUCAUCAGGAUACCACUGUAUGAGCACCAAACUUUCUUUCAUUGAAUGAGUUGAAUACUAGGAAAACUGAACUACUUCUCUUCAUGGGUCCAACAUAUCAGUAGAAAUGGGAUCUGAAAGCGCAGACAUGGAACCGCUGGAAAUAACUCUGAACCUUCUGAAGAAGGCCACAACUUCCCUUUUUGAUAACUCAAGUCUAAAUUUAAGAGCAUUGCAAACCCUGCCCCUGGUACACACUUUGUUGGCUUUGAAACCAAACUAUUUUCAUGUUGAUACCGUGUCUUUAUGAUUUCGGCUACUUAAAGCAGCUACCAAAAGUGGAGCACCAUACUGGUAAGUUGGUAAUCAAGAUGAAAGGAUUGCAUAAGGCUAUAUUAUUGUCUUGAAUUUCAAAUUUUAAAUUACAAAAAAAAUUAGGAGAAAACAAAAUACAAUAAAAUUGGGAGAAAACAAAAUACAAGAAUUUAACAAGAUAAAUACUACCCGCUAUGACACUCUCUAACAGCCUAGACAUAGACCAAAACUUUUAUUCAUCUGUGAAGAACUUGUGCUGUUAUCGCCUUUGGAAGUUAAAUGCCUUAAUGGCAAAGGCAAAUAUAAAUAAGAAAAGCACCGUAAACCCAACAAUCACAACUGCAACCACUCCAAGGAAAUCAUGUUUGAAUCCAAGGUAGUCAUCCAAGUAUUGUUUCACUGUUACAUUUGAGUCAAGUAGUGUGUCCUCGAUAUCUCCAAACUGUGAUGUAACCAAUCCAUACAAACUCCAUGCAACUGGACAGGCCCAAUAGUACCAUCUCCACCACACAGGAAUCCUCUGUAUUCAUCAUGUAAGAAAUGCAACAAAAUGAGAUCGUUUCUGUAUCCAUGUGCUAAAGAAAGUGGCAAUUUAAAGAAUUAUGGGUUGAGAGCACUUACAUUUCGUGGGACUAUAAAACCUGAGAAGAGGUUCCAUAAUGUAUAAAAUGCUAAGGCAACGAUGGCAGCAAUAUGUUGAUUUGGUGUGGCAGCCACAGCCAUCAUGCCAUAAAAGGUGAAGUACAGUAAGGUGAAGAACAUGAAGAACAGAUACCAGAAGAACUUAGCAGCUGUCCAUUCAAAUCCAAUCAUUGCAUAAACUAUAACACCAUACGCCACAGCUUGUGAAAAGACAUAAGGUAUCUCAACUAAAGCCUGAAAGAAGAGAUGAAAUUUGAUUAAUAAAACCCAUAAAGUAUUAGAGAUAUACGAAGUCUAUAGCAUAAGAAAACUAAUUACCUGUGCAAAGGCAUAUGGCAUGGCUGAAUACAUUCCUGCAGCUCUUUCUCUGUAAAAGACUGUCCGUUCAACUGCCACGACUGGUUGCACCGAUUGGCCAUUCUGAAACCCAAGGAAGAGAACAGCGGCAUACAUAGAGCCCAUUGCAUUAGAUAUAUCUUGUUGUCUUGUCCUGCAUUUGCCAAUGUGAAGUAAAAAUUAAAGUUGAUAUGGAGAAGCAUACUGAGUUCUCAAAAUUCUGAACUGACUUCAAACUACCUUUUGGUGCCGAGAUCCCAGAACAUUGUCCCAAACAUCAAGGCUACGAAAGUUGUGAAGAAAAAUCUCACUGCCGUGUAUGGUGGAUUUCGCCAGUAUGACAAACGUUGUUUCCAUAAGCAUGCCAUACACUGGGUGAAGAAGGACUGGGAGUAUUGAGUAGGGAAAUAGAGGUCCUUAGAACCAGGGGUAGGUUGGCUCAAUUCUUUAAUUAAAUCUUUGUUUCUCCUGAAACAUAUGCCACAUCUUAGAAAAGGCUUCAACAACAAAUUCAAGCUUGCAUGAUGAACUUUGAAAUGGCUGUAUAUGACAUUUCAAUAUCAUAAAGCAUUCAGAUAUCCUAUAGUUGAAUCACCUGUAUAUGUCUGACUUUUCGUAUAUUUCGGUGAAAUCCACCCCCAAAAUUAAUUCUUGUGCAGAAGCGGUAACUUCCAACAUCCAAGUUGCAGGGUUAUAACCAUCUUUGAUUUUACUUACUCCUUCAAUUCCCUUAAUGAAAGCAAGUCACAUGUAUUAGUAAGCACUUUAUAUGAAUUAACUUAAACUAAAGUAUUUGCUGCUUAUAGCUUUUAAUUUAUCAUGGAAGUUUACCUCAAAAUACUUUAUCAGAUGGGAAGAAUGUCUACCCAGUGGUCCCAUAUAUAUCUCUUGCCCUCCACGCUUCAACAGGAGCAACUGCAAACCCAUUUUGAAUAUGUCAGUACUUAUAUGCAGGAGAGCAUAGAAGAGAAUAAAUCCUUUCUAUCCAUUAACAUUUCCCACCUCAUCAAAGGCAUCAAAGAUGUCAAUACUUGGCUGAUGGAUGGUGCACACAACUGUUCUUCCUGUGUCCACUGUGUUCCUGACUGUUCUCAUAACAAUUGCAGCAGCUCUUGCAUCUAGCCCUGAAGUUGGCUCAUCCAUGAAUAUUAUUGAGGGAUUUGCCACAAGCUCAACUGCAAUGGUCAGCCUCUUGCGCUGCUCGAUUGAGAGACCAUUUACACCUGGCAACCCAACUAGUGCACCCCUCAAUGGGGUCAGUUCCACGAGGUCCAUGACUUCCUCAAUGAACAUCUAUAACCAUUACCAAAGAUUAGAAAUUGUUUGAACCAGCACUUUUCCUCAAGAGUAUAGGUCAAGCCAAACUUGAACCUGACCAUAGCUCAACCAAGUUUGAAAAAUCAAUUCUAGGGCUUUGCUUGUUCAGAGCACUAAAUUCAAUAAGAAAAAUGUGGAAACAACACAGAAAACUCUCACCUUUCUUGUUUCAGCAUCCACAUUAGGAGGCAAUCGCAGCCAAGCUGAGUAGAGCAAGGACUCAUGGACAGUAACAUGAGGAGAGUGGAUGUCAUUCUGCUCACAGUAUCCAGAAAUGCGAGCAAAAGUCUCUUGCUUCUUUGGGUAGCCAGAAAUGCUGAUGCUACCCUCAAUAUAUCCACCAGUUUUCCGACCAGCCAAUACAUCCAUGAGAGUGCUUUUACCAGCACCACUAACACCCAUCAAAGCUGUAAGAACACCAGGCCUGAAAGCACCACUCACCCCCUUCAGAAGCUCCAAUCUGUCUUCAGGGACACCCUGACUUUUCAUUUCCUGCAAAUUCAAUUCAAACAACUUAGUUCUCAUUUUUGGUUUAUUAGUGCUGAUAAAACAUGUACAUUAUUUGCAUUAAUAUGAAGUUACCUCUGGCAUGUCAACUGAGUAUCUAAUAUCAUCAAAGGUGAUAGAAAGUGGUUGGAAUGGAAGAACCAUUCCUUUUUUGUUGUUACGUCUCGCCUCAGCAAUGGCUUCUGCCCUCACAGAAGAGGAUACGGAUGAGAUACUUCGCCCAAUUUCCUCUCCACUCUCUGCAUGUUAAGUUUAAAUUUAGAGAGCAAUAUAGAACAUGGGGUUAAAUGACAAGAACACAGGCACACAAAGGCAUGCAAGCACCAUGUAUGAGUUUCAUCACCUGUGGAUGCGGUUUGGUCAAUCGAGCCUUUUCUAUGGGACGAUAACUCAAUCUUUCCUUCAGUUUUGGCAUUGUCGGACUCUACUGUUAUAACAGCUCGAGGCUUCUCAAAUGCUGCACAAUUUGCAAAAAUCUUAAUACACUAACCUCCAAUAAUUUAGGAGUUUCAAUGCAGAGACGGUAAAGAUACUCACGAUUUAGGUAAGUCAGAGCCACAGUGUAACAGAAGUUGAAGACAAAUAUGAAUCCAAGCAGUGCCCCAGCUCCUAUCCAGUACCAGUGUGCCUCCGUGAAGAACCCACGAGCCUUCAAUACUGCUACUCCAAGGGAUUCUGUUGAAUUGGUAGAAGCAUUCUGAAAAAUGGAAAUACAUUCAAUCAUCAGUGACUGACACACAUAAAUAAACACAAAUACUCACAUGCAAAAUCCAAGAACUUACUUUGCUCCAACUCUUCCCAAGGAAUUCAUUUACCACUAUUGCGUUCUGUGCAUACAUCAUAGGGGAAGACCAGUAACCCCAAAUCCACCAUUUCUUGACACUUUCUGCAGCAUUGACCAAAUACAAAAAGAAAACAAAAAUCCAUUAUUAGUGUUUAUCAACAAGAAGGUUCUACAUUUCCUGAAAAUUUCUUUCCUCCUUAUACCUCGUGACAGGACAAAACCACCCAAUGCAAAGGGCAGAACUAAUGCAAAUGACCCAAAUGUGUUUGCAACAAUCAUGCUUCUACAAGCUGCUGCUAUAAAUCGAAAUAAUGAAGAUGCCGUCUGAUUAAGAAGCAAGAGGAGAAGAUACUGUCUAAACAAUCUGCAAUAAGAAGAUUUGUUUAUUGAGCAUAGAUCAUUUUGGAACAGAGAAAACAGGUGAAACAAAUCUGGACAAGUUUCUGCAACUUCAUAAGUUUUUAACUUUUACCUUCCCACAUUUGGAUCAAAUCCAAUGACAUAAUAAGUGAUGAAUACCCAAAGACCAACUUCAACAAAUGUGAUGGGGAUCUUGAGGAACCAUGAGGGAAGAGCAUAUGCCCAUGCAGGAUAGAAGAGCAGGCCUCUUUGCUUGUAAAAGACAGGAAGUUUUAGAAUGGUCAUGGCAAGUUCUGACAUUCCAUUAAACAUGACCUUCAUGACAGUGAAGAACAAAGCACCAGUGUAAAUGAUUCCAUCUUCUGUUGUGUUUUUGGGCAUCUCAGUUCUUAGGAAGAUUGUCAUUGCAAUCAUUGCGACUAUUGUGAGCUAAAAGCAGAAAUAAAAAUAAUAAAUUACGAUCAAAUGUACAAAAUUAAAAGCCAUUGUUAUAAGUAACAACAAUAAUAAUACUCACUUGGGUGAGCUUGAAAAUAUAGACAAAUGAAUUCCUCUUCAUCAGCAAGUACUCUCUUGAGAUGCAAGCAUCCAACAGUUCCUUCUUUCCAACACCAUAUUUUUCAGUUUUCAAAGCAGCCGGGUGGCUUUUGGUCUUGUCGAAUGGAGUUGCAAGCUCAUCUCCUAGUUUCCGUCCAAAGUGAAAUGACUGGAAUGCCUCAGCNNNNNNNNNNNNNNNNNNNNNNNNNNNNNNNNNNNNNNNNNNNNNNNNNNNNNNNNNNNNNNNNNNNNNNNNNNNNNNNNNNNNNNNNNNNNNNNNNNNNAUCUUUAUGUGCCCAAUACUGCUNNGAUCUUCCUAGAUGUUACUGCAAUCAAUUUUAAAAUUCGUGUUCUAGCUUGGUUUUUUCUAAAGAAGGGAAAAAAUGAGAAGAUGCCAAAAGGUACAAAGCUAUUAGCACUCACUUCUUGUAGGAAGUCUGCCACACCCUUCCUUUCAGGACAUCUGAACCCCAUGGAUUCAAAAAAGUUAAGAACGUCUUCACGAGGACCCUGAUAAAUGAUCCGGCUAUCAGAGAGAAGAAUGAUGUCAUCAAAAAGAUCGUAAGUCUCAGGUGCUGGCUGGAGGAGAGAGAUGAGAGCAGUCCCAUUGAGAAUGUGGACGGUUUGCCUGAGAGAAUUUACGAUUUGAUAAGUUGUUGAGCUAUCCAAGCCAGUAGAGAUCUCAUCCAUGAACAGUGCCUUUGAUGGUCCAACCAGCAUCUCACCUAUCAUUCAUAUAUUUUCAAAUAAUUGAACUAUAUUAGAUUAAUGAACAAAAAAUAUCUUCUUCUUCUUCUUUUUUCCUUUUUCAUGUUAGAACACAAAUUAUCCUACCAGUUGUGACACGCUUCCUUUGUCCUCCAGAGAUACCCCUCACCAUUUCAUCUCCUACCAUGGUGUCUGCACAGAUUUCUAGUCCCAGAAUCUGUAAAUUUAAGUGUAAAUGAAAAUAAACAAAUUAUGAGUUAGAACUGGGUUUUCUCAGAAAUCUGUAUUCCAUCAUUGAAAGUUUUAUGGUUAUGAUACCUUUAGUGUAUAAUCAGUGAUCACAUUCUCCUUCUGGCCUUCAGCUGCCGCUGCCUGAAAUGUUAGAAACCAAUAAUGAAAAUCUCAACAACCAUUAAAGUUAGUUUGGUACAUCAAGAUAUUCCAUGGAUAAGAUCGACAGAACAUCAAGAAAACAAAGUCAAUUUGCAUAUCUAUGUGAGAGAUCAAAAUUUUCAUUCUAGAGAAGACAAGUGUCCAUGUUCUCCACGAAAAACAAAUAGCUGAUCAAUUUCACAAAGUAGCUUCUGUCUCACCUUCAUGAAGACAUCGAUAUCAGGAUCGGGCUUUAUAUUUGCUGCUUUCUCUCUUCUUGAGAGCUCUACUAACAUGUCUGCAGAUAGCCAAAAUAAGAGUCAAUCUCCUGGCCUAGGCAAAUGUCAUACAACUACAUCCACAACCUUCAAAAACAAAGAAAAUAAAAGUGAAGGCAAUGGUUUAGACUAACCAUAUCGAUCUCCAACACCCUGGCAUCUUGCAGAGAAGGCCAAGGUUUCCCGUACAGUCAUUUCUCCUAUAUGGGUAUCAAGUUGGCUUAUGUAGGCGGCAGUUCUCUGGGGUACAAACUCAUUCAUGCCAUGACCGUUGUAUGUCACCCUUCCCGUAACCUAAACAAGAAAUUUCAGUUUUCAAAUUGGAUAUGAGAUUAAAGUGCUAAAAAUUGCAUCAAAGAAGAAAAGCAAUAAGAGUUUUUUUUUUUUUUUUUUCCAUUCAACCUUUAGACUGGAAUCAAGCUUUCCGGACAAAGCCAAUAAGAGAGUGGUCUUUCCAGAACUUGGAGGACCCAAAAGCAACGUCAUUCUGCAGAAAAAAAAUUAUGCACAAAAAAUUGAGUAUUGAUCUUCAGGGCAUUCUAAAUUUGAGAAAGGAAAAAAUCAUUUGAUUUAUCAAUCAAUUUUUUACUAGAAAUAAAUUCAAAUUCUCACCUUCCGGGUUUGAUGAUUCCGCUAACAUCAUGAAGAAUGGUGAAUUUCUUCUUUCUACUUGGAAGAAUUCGAAGAGUGUUCAAGAUAUCCUUUAAAACAGAAAGAAAAAUUAUAAUCUAAAAACAAACUUUCCCAAGAGAGUACUUAUUGAUUAGCUAAUGAUCUGCAUUUUCAUUUUAGUUACCUCAAUUUGAUUAAAAACAGAAUUAAUGAAUGAAGGCAAAGCUCUGCUUCCUACAUGAGCUUCUGCAUCAAUGGUAAGAUGCUCAAAUCUAACUUCAAUUUCGGGAAGAUCAAUCCCAACUCUGAAAAAUGGAAGAGCCACGAAAACUCGUUAUUAAAAAGUCAAAGGAAGAUGUUGUUUGGUUGCAAAGAAAAUAUAGGAAACACUAUCAGGCAUACUUAAGAUGAAUUCUUUCUUUUCCACUGUUUUCAAUGUUCAAAAAGAGGCAAGGAGCGCAAGAAAAGAAGAGAAAUCGCACCUAUCCAUACGAUUCUUGAGCUUCAACAAGAACUUCUCAUUGUCCUCUUCAGCGAUUUUCACCAACCGCUCGACUAAAUUCUUCCUUUCCUGAGGCCCAAGGUUGUGUAUAUCAACUUCACUGGCCUCACCCUCUGAUCCGAUCAGCAAACCUUUCCUCAGCCGAUUGUAGGUGGGAAGUUUCUCGAGGGCAGCCCAUUUCAAAGCUUCCUCAUCAUCCUCAUCCCUUGAAGAACGGGAGAAAACCUCCGCACCAGAGUUCCUCCAUAUGGAAGAACUGUUCUUCUUGAAACUACCACUGGCUCUACGACCACUGGCUGUAUAAAUUUCAGCUGUUUCCAUUGCAACACGAAACGAGGAACCCCCCUGCAAAACUAACCAGAACCCACCAAAACCCAGAAAUUUUUCCAAAAAAUCAGGAGAAGCCCAAGUUUUGAUCUCUGGAGCUGAAAAAAACUCAGAGAUGGGUGUCCUCCCCUCUUUUCUCUAUGCACUUUGUAGUGCUAAAACCUUGUUCUAUGUUAGAAAACCAUGAGGAAUGGAAGGUUUAUAUACUGGUUCGAAGGACAGAAUCAGAGGCGGCCUAAAAGUUUCAAAUUCUUAUUUUAACAUUUUCACAAUUCUCCACUAUCUUGUUUGUCAAGUAAAUGGAAAAGUGAAUUAUUAAAUGUUGUCCUAACCGCAAACUAACUAACUUUCCCGGGCCAAACUAACUAAAUUCCAAAUGUAAAACAUUUAUGGCAUCUUGUUUAUACUCUUGUUUAAUGAUAUGAUACUUUCGGUUUAGUUUGCCUGAAUUAAAAAUGUAAGUUAAUUUUUAACAUUUCAUUUAUAACCUAAUUUAAUGUUGAUAUAUUGAAUUUGGAUUACUUCUUUUAAUCUCAGAAUUUAUUAAGAUUAGAUCGGAGUUGAGUUAAUAGGCCUCGAGUUAAUUUAAAUUAUAUUCAAGGAAAGAGUUAAGUAAACUUUAAUAAGUGAAUGAUGAAAUUUUUUAUUUCUAAAUUAUAUGUAAUAUAAUCAAAUAUAUGUCUCGUUAUUACGAGUUUACAAGUAACCCAAUAGGCAUAAGAAUUAUUGAAGGUUGGCCCAACAGCCCCUUUUGACCCUUCAAAUGACUGCCCUUGUCAUUUUCAGCUUUACUCACCCUUGUCAACCAGCAAGCAACUCACUAGGAAUAGGAAUUAUCAAAUUAAGUAACUUUGCCACAAGCAGCCCCAACCCCACCCCCAAACCCCCAAACCCCCACCCCCCACCCCCCACCCACCACCCAACAUAUUUUUUUGGCAAUUUUUGUUAAAUCUAAUUUAAUAUUUUGAUAUUUGGAUUACCUAAAUUAGAAAUGUAAGUUAAUUUUUAGAAAUUUGUUUGUAGUCUAAUUUAAUGUUGAUUAAACUCGAGUAAGUUUAAAUUAGGAUUAAAUCUAUUUAAGGAUGGUGUUAAACAAAUGAGGAAACCUAAACCUUAAUUAAGUGGGUUAUUAGAAAAAAUAUUAUGGUAUUAAUUAUUUCAUGAAUUUGUAUAUCUUAAAAUUAGUUAAUAAUACCCCUCAUUAUUAUUCAAUAAAAGUGGCCAAUUCUAUGGUAAAGAAUAAAAAUAUUAAAAACAUUAGUAAAAGAUGUUUUAGACUUUACUAAAAAAAUAAGUUAAAAGACUUUUUCAAAAGAAUUUUAAAAAGUAUUUAAACUCCCCGCUAAGAUAUUUUAAUAAAUCAUUUUUUUUUUUACCAAGUCAAUGGAAAUUUGAAUUAUUAAAUGUUAUCUAACUACUAGAUAAAUUAAUAAGUUGUUUGACAAUUAUUUUUUGAGAACUAUUUUUUUAUUUUAUCUUUAAGUUGUUUUCACUUAUUUUUUAAAAUUUGUUUUAAAAAAUAACUAUACAGAAAAAUGAUUAAAAAUAAAGUACUAAAUAUAAAAAAAAUCAUUUUUAAAAAAUAUUAAAAACCAUUUAAAAUAUUUUAAAUUCUCAAAUAAACUUUUGUUUUAUAAAACAUUAAAAAAUAAUUUUUAAAAACUGUUCUUAAAAACUAUUUUUCAAAAUUAUUUUUUAAAACAAUUACAAAAUGGAUCCUAACUUUAUUUGCCUGAGUGCAAAUCUACCUAAAUUGUAAAUGUAAAAUACUUUUUUGGCAAUUUAUUUAUAAUUUAAUUUUAAGAUUCCAUACUUUGGGUUUUGAAUUACCACUUUUAAUCUCCCAACUUUUUAGAGUAGGAUUGGAUUAGCUGAAUUUGACUCUGCUUAGAGUUAGGUCCCGGGUGGUUUUCGACUGGCUCAUACUCUCCUAAAUUAUAAAUGUAAGUACAUUUUUUGGUACAUUUCCUUUUCUUUUUUUUUUUUUUAAAAACAAAAUAUCUUAUAUGAAAAAAAAAAAAAGGAAUUCUUGUAUAAAAGCUAGUUAUAUACCUUGUAUAAAAAUUUAAGUAAUUUUACUUCCACAAAUUUUCUAGGUUUUGAAAAGAAUUUUUAGAAAUACAAGGUAAAUUUUACCUUUUUAUAUAAAAGUUCUUAUAUUUUAUAUAGAAAUUCUUAUUUUUAAAAAUAAAAAAUGUACCUAAUCACCACCUAAAUUAUUUUUCACCAUUUUUUUAUACUAUAAUCUAAUGUUUAUGAUCGAAAUCUAGUGUUUGUAGUUAAGUUUGUAUUGAAGUUUAGUCAACAUAUUCAUGGAUGAAGCUAAACUAAUGACAGAAACUUUAUUUAAGUGAGCAAUUAGAACAAUUAUGAGGGUAAUAAAUAAUUGAUAAAUUUUCAAAAUUUAAAAUUUGUUAACAAUUCCCCUCAUUAUUAUAAAAAAUAUAUAUACAAUUAUAGAGGUUAAUUAUAAAAAAGAAAGAAAAUAUAUGAUAUAUCAAACUGAAUAAAAAUAAUAUCAAACAUAUUGGUAAAAAUAUUUUUGUUUUUCAAAAAAAAAACAUCCAAAAAAUUAAAAGGUUUUUUUUCAAAAGAAUUAAAAAAUAGUUAAAAUUUUCAAUAAGAAAUUUCUAAUAAUUUUGUUUUAACAAAAAUAGAAAAUCAACAAUUCCACUUAUAAAUUUCUUCUAUUUUUCAAAUAGCUAAAGAUAAAUUGAGUGAGGAAACUAUUUUUUUUAUGAAGUAUAUAUAAUAUAGUAAAAAUAUCAUAUUAAGUUAUAUAAUUUUUAUAAUUAAAGUUAAAUUCAAAUUCUCAUAAUAUAGUCAUUAUAUGAGAUUUGAUAUGAUGAUAUUUAUAAAAUCGAUGAGAUUGAUAUUCAAAUAUUUCUUUUUAAAACAUACUGAUUUAACUCUACAAGUGGUACCACCACCCAUAUAAAUUAAUAUUAAUUACAAACUUCCAUAAUACAAAUCAUUGCAUAGGAUUAGAUUUAUUAAAAAUUAAAUAACAUAUAAAUUUAUAUAGCUUUGUAGUAAAUUCUAAAUUAGUGAUUAUUUCAUUAAAUCUAAAAAAUAAAAGUAAAAUGACCAAAUCAAUCUGCAAAAAAUUCACCACUCAAAAUAAUUUAAUAAAAUGUCAAAUACUAAUAGAAUUUUUUGAGGGAUGAGGUUUAGAAAAAUCAAAUUUAGCUUUUUCUAUUUGAAAAAACCUCAUUUUCAAGGGAAGACAUUAUUAAAUCCUCCUUGAUGAUGGUAAAGUUAGGGAAAGAAAAAGAAACAACAAAUCUUAAUAUGAUGUUUCAGGGAACCCUAUCUUCAAUGAAUCAAACUAGUUUUAUGGGGCCUAAUUGACUGGAAGUUCUUAUUUUCAUUUGUCCAAAUAAAGAAAUAUUCAGAAACUGAAAAUCUUCUUUCCUAUCACAGUUCUGAACAAUCAAAGCAACUAUUAAUAAAAAAAAAACACUCAGAAUAUGACAGAUUUUGAACUAAAUAUCAUCUCGAUUCACCUACUCAAGAAAUUUGAUGAGUUUUUGAGCUUGGAAGAGUCAGGUCAAAUCCACAUGUCUGCAAAUUUGGAAGGCAGUGAUUCUACAAUUCAAAGCAUAACUGCUUCAUUUGGAUAUGAUCAUCAGGAUACCACUGUAUGAGCACCAAACUAUUUACAUUGAAUGAGUUGAAUACUAGGAAAACUGAACUACUUCUCUUCAUGGGUCAAGCAUAUCAGUAGAAAUGGGAUCUGAAAGCGCAGGCAUGGAACUACCUCUGAACUUUCUGAAGAAGGCCAAAACUUUUCUUUUUGUUAGCUCAAGUCUAAAUUUAAGAGCAUUUUAAACCCUGCCCCGUCAUACACACUUGUUGGUUUUGAAACCAUACCAUUUUCAUGCUGAUACCUGUCUUUAUGGUUUCAGCUGCUUAAAGCAGAGACUGAAAGUGGAGCACCAUACCGGUAAGUCGGUCAUCAAGAUCAAAGGAUUGCUGGUCACACUAGACAGGCGAAGCAGGUUGAGAAAUGCAUAGUUGUCGAAGGACAAAUUGCAUCCAGGUAAUUUCAGCGACAGUAAUAGGAAGACCAUGAUAUUCGGACUCAGCACUACUUCGUGAGAUAACUCUUUGUUUGGUAGACGACCAUGACACCAGAUUGGAGCCAAGGAAGAUGUAAUAGCUGCUAGCGCUUCCACGAUCGUUUGGGAAUUAUGCCCAAUCCGCAUCUGUGUGGGAUUGGAUGUCCAGAGAGGACGAGGGAUGCAGUAUCAGUCCGUGGGGGGUGGUGCCUUUAAGGUACCUGAGGAUCCUUUUUACACCAAGCCAGUGCAUGGUGGUGGGACGAGCCAUGAACUGACAUGCUUUAUUGGCUGCAAAUAAGAGAUGAGGCCUGGUGUUGGAAAUGUAUUGGAGGGCUCCCACUAUGCUGCGGUACAAUAAGACAUUCGAAAUGGUUCUCCAUCAGACUCAGAUAGGGUUGUGCCAGUGGCUCCAGGUGUGGUAGUAGGCUUGGAAUCCAACAUAGUCGUUCAAGUGAGAAGAUCACAGAUGUACUUAUGCUGAUUGAGAUGUUGUAAUGCAUUGGCAUGAGUGACCUCUACACCCAGAAAGUAGUUAAUAUGACCAAGGUCUCUAAGGGCAAAUGUUGUUUUGAGAUAUUGCAAAAAUGAGAACACCUGAGGAGGAUUGCUGCCUGUAAUUAAUAUACCGUCAACAUAGAUUAAAAGGAGUAUGGUAGCAAUUGAUGUAUGAAGGAAGAACAGAGAAUUAUCAGCCUAUGAACAAGUGAAGCCCCAGCUGAGAAGUGCUGUUCGAAGUCUGAGAAACAAGGCAUGAGGGGCCUGCUUGAGGCCAUAUAAAGCUUUGUUCAAGCGACAAACAUGAGAUGGAUAUUGCGGAUCUACAAAAUCUGGAGGCUGCUGCAUGAACACUUGCUCACGGAGGUCGCCAUUGAGGAAGGCAUUUUAAUUUGGACAUCCAGUUGUCUAAUUGGCCAACCAGAGGAGAGAGCUAUGGUGAGGACUAUGCGAAUGGUGGAUGCCUUGACUAUUGGACUGAAUGUUUCGAAGUAAUCUAGCCCAUGUGUUUUGCAACACGGCGAGCUUUGUAGCGAUCAAUGGUCCCAUCUGGUUUAUAUUUGGGUUUAUAGACCCAUUUGCAACCAAUGAUAUGUCCAUGUUGAGGAGCUGGAGCAAGAGUCCAGGUGUUGUUGCGGAUGAGGGCAUUGUAUUCAGAUGUCAUAGCUUCUUUCCGGUUGGAAUUUUUGAGUGCUUGGUGAUACGUUCGAGGUUCAAUGAUUUUCGGUGCAAAGAACAAUAUGGGUUUGAGGUUACCAAUUUUUUAUCGAGUGAGCAUGAGGUGGGUGUUAGCUGGUUUGGUGAAGAGAGUCUUGGACUGUAAUGCUAAAAGUGAAGAGUUAGUAAAUGGUGCCUGAAUAAUGGAGGGAAUAAAGUGGUUAAAGAAGGAAGGACUGGUUAUAGCUAGUUGGGGAAUGGGUCGUUCACGGGACUGGGUGGUGGUGGAUGAGAAAAGGGUUGGGAAAUGAUGAAGAGGGCUGGAAUAAGGAAUAGCUGAGUGAGGGCUUGAGGACAGGAUGGGAGAGGGCUCGAAGAGUGGUUAUAUUUGAAAUGAGAAGAUGGUUUCAUUGAAAACUACAUGACGGGUGAUGUAGAGGCGACUGGAUAAGAGGUCCAUGCAUAUGUAGCCUUUCUAAAAUGAGCUAUAACCCAGAAAUACACAUUGGACUAAUCGAUAUUGGAGCUUAUGGUUAUUGUAUGGUCGAAUGUAUAGGUAGCAAAGACACCCCAAAUACUUUAGACAUUGUAUAAUCUGGAGGAUGGCCAAAUAGAACUUGGAAAGGGGAGUUAAGAUUUAGGAUUUUGGUAGGUAGUCUGUUAAUAAUAAAUGUUGCAGUUUGGAAGGCAUACAACCAGAACUUCAAGGGUAAAGAGGCUGUGGCUAAGAGGGUUAGCCCGUUUCAACAAUGUGGUGUAUUUUACAUGCAGACCUGCCAUUUUACUCCGGAGUGUGGGGACAUAAACAUCGGUUUAUAAUUCCUUGUUGAGUAAGGAAGGGAGCGAAGGCCCUAAACUCUCCUCCAUUGUCCUAUUGGAGGCAUUUGAUUGUGGAACCAAACUGUUUCUCUACUAGAAUUUUAAACUUCAUGAAUGUAGGUAAGCUUGAUCCUUAGUGUGUAAGGGAUACGGCCUGGAAAAUCUUGAACAAUCAUCAACAAAUAACAAGAAAUAUCGAGCACCAAUAGAGGCUGGAAUGGGUGACGGUCCCCAAAGAUUAGUGUGUAUAAGAUCAAGGAUAUUAGAAGCUUUAAUUGGACUCAGAAAGUGAAAAUGGUAAUUUGUGGCUUUUUCCAUAUUGACAAGCAGUACAUAUAGUAGAAUUAUUGGUUUCAAGAGUUUGAGAAUGUUUGCAACAGGAUGUCCCAGCCUAGCAUGCCAGAGAGUAAACUGCUCAGUUCUUGUGGUAGACGCAGGAGUGUGAGACGCAGUUGUGAGGAAGGUUGAGGAUGACCUUGGUGUUAUGAAGUUCAUACGGAACUUAUAGAUACCAUUUUCAAGAUUGUCGUGGAGUAGAGUUUUCUUCAUGAGGUGGUUCUUCACAAGAAAGGGACGAGGAUAAAAGUCAAAGAAAGAAUUAUUGUCAUGGCAGAAUUUUGAGACGCUCAUAAGAUUUUGGCAAGUUUGGGAACAUGAAAUACUUUGUUUAACUGAAAAGUCUUAAAUGAAGUAGGUAGGAAUUUAGAACCAAUAAGAAGAUAGGAAGCCUCUUACCAUUGCCAAUGAUGACUAUAACUAGAAAUGGGAUCUGUAAGUGCAGGCAUAGAACCUCUGAACAUUCUGAAGAAGGCCAAAACUUUUCUUUUUGUUAGCUCAAGUCUAAAUUUAAUGACAUUUCUCUCAUACACACUUGCUGGUUUUGAAACCAUACUAUUUUCAUGCUGAUACCUGUCUUUAUGAUUUCAGCUGCUUAAAGCAGAGACUGAAAGUGGAGCACCAUACCGGUAAGUUGGUCAUCAAGAUGAAAGGAUCGCAUAAGGUUAUAUUAUUCUCUUGAAUUUAAAAUUUCAAAUCACAUACAAAUGGGAGAAAACAAAAUACAAGAAUUUGACAACAUAAAUAUUACCUCCUCAUAGCAGGGCUAUCGAUACUCUCUAACAGCCUAUACAUAGAACAAAACCAUUUUUUCAUCUUUGAAGAACUUGAGCUUUUAUCGCCUUUGGAAGUUAAAUGCCUUAAUGGAAAAGGCGAAGAUAAAUAAGAAAAGCACCGCAAACCCAACAAUCACAGCUGCAACCACUCCCAGGAAAUCAUGUUCGAACCCAAAAUAGUCAUCCAAGUAUUGUUUCACUGUUACAUUUGUGCCAAGUAGUCUGUCUUCGAUAUCUCCAAACUGUGCUGUAAUCAAUCCAUACAAAGUCCAUGCAACUGGACAUGCCCAAUAAUACCAUCUCCACCACACAGGAAUCCUCUGCAUUCAUCAUGGAAGAAAUGCAACAAAAUGAGACAGUUUCAUAUCCAUGUGCUAAACAAAGUUCCAAUUUAAAGAAUUAUGGGUUUAGAGCACUAACAGUUCCUGGGACGAUAAAACCGGAGAAGAGGUUCCAUAAUGCAUAAAAUGCUACAGCAAUGAUGGCAGCAAUAUGCUGAUUUGGUGUGGCAGCCACAGCCAUCAUGCCAAACAAGGUGAAGUAUAAUAGGCUGAAGAACGUAAAAAAAAAAUAUACCAGAAGAACUUAGCAGUUGUCCAUUCAAAUCCAAUCAUUGCAUAAACUAUAGCACCAUAAACCACAGCUUGCGAAAAGACAUAUGGUAUCUCAACUAAAGCCUGAAACAAGAGAUGAAUUUUGAUUAAUAAAACGCAUAAAGCAUUAGAUAUAUACAAAGUCUAUAGCAUAAGAAAACUUGUUACCUGCGCAAAGGCAUAUGGCAUGGCUGAAUACAUUCCUGCAGCUCUUUCUCUGUAAAAGACUGUCCGUUCAACUACCACGACUGGCUGCACCGAUUGGCCUAUCUGUAACCCAAGGAAGAUAACAGCAGCAUACAUAGAGCCCAUUGCAUUAGAUAGAUCUUGUUGCCUUGUCCUGCAUUUUCCCAUGUGAAGUAAAAAUUGAAGUUGAUAUGGAGAAGCAUACUGAGUUGUCAAAAUUCUUAACUUAAAUCAAAUUACCUUUGGGUGCCGAGAUCCCAGAACAUUGUCCCAAACAUCAAGGCUAUGAAAGUUGUGAAGAAAAAUCUCACUGCCGUGUAUGGUGGAUUGCGCCAGUAUGACCAACGUUGUUUCCAUAAGCAUGCCAUACAUUGGGUGAAGGACUGGGAGUAUUGAGUAGGGAAAUAGAGGUCCUUAGAACCAGGGGUAGGUUGGCUCAAUUCUUUAAUUAAAUCUUUGUUUCUCCUGAAACAUAUGCCACAUCUUAGAAAAAGCCUCAACAACAAAUUCAAGCUUGCAUGAUGAACAUUGAGAUGGCUGUAUAUGACAUUUCAAUAUCAUAAAGCAUUCAGAUAUCCUAUAUUUGAAUCACCUGUAUAUGUCUGAGUUUUUGUAUAUUUCAGUGAAAUCCACUCCCAAAAUUAAUUCUUGUGUAGAAGUGGUAACUUCCAACAUCCAGGUUGCAGGGUUAUAACCAUCUUUGAUUUUACUUACUCCUUCAAUUCCCUAAAUGAAACCAAAUUAAUCCUUCAUAAUGUACCAAAUUUUAUAAAGGAAGUACUAAAUUUUGUCAAGGACGUACCAAAUUUUUUAAAGGAUGUACCAAUGUUGCCAAAGUCCGUUAUGAGGUGGGGAACGACCUUCAAUAACUUCCUGAAGGUCUCCAAAUGAAGAAAUGGACUAUGGAAAUGGAGAUAAGUGUUCCAUUAGCUCAAGGAUUGGAUGUAUUAAAUUUUCUCAAUGAUGUACCUAGGGUUCCAAAGUCCAUUUCGGAGUAGGGAACGAUUUCCAAUCACUUCCCAAAGAUCCCUAAAGGAAUAAACAGACCAUGAGUAAUAAGAUAGAGAUUUCAAUAGCUCAAGUAUGUACCAAAUAUUUUUAAGAAUAUACAAAAUUUUAUAAAGGAUGUACCAAGAGUGCCAAAAUUUGUUUCGAUGUGGGGAAUGACCUUCAAUCACUACCUAAGGGUCCUCAAAGGAUAAUAUGGACCAUGGGAAGAUAGAUAAGGGCUUGAUAGCCUGAGGAUUGGAUGUACCAAAAUUUCUUAACGAUGUACCAAAUUUCCUUAAGGAUGUACCUAGGGUUCCAAAGUUCGUUUCUAAGCAGGGAACGACCUCUAAUUACUUCCUAAAGAUCCCUAAAGAAAUAAACAAACCAUGGGUAAUAAUAUAGAGGUCCUGGUAGCUCAUGGAUUGGAUGUACAAAAUUGUUUUAAGGAUGUGCCAAAUUUUAUAAAAUAUGUACCAAAUUUUAUAAAUGAUGUACCAAAUUGUCUUUAGGAUGUACCUUGGGUUCCAAUAUCAGUUUUAGAGUGGGGAAUAACCUCUAAUUCCUUCUCAAGGGUCCCCAAAUGAAUAUAUGAACCAUGAAAAUGAAAAUAGCGGUUUUAGUUCCUCUAAGAAUUGAUAUACCUAGGAUCCCAAAGUUCUUUUUGGGGUGGGCAAAAACCUCCAAUUACUUAUCAAGGGUCUUAAAAGAAUAUAUACACCUUGAUAAGUAUGAUAGUGUUUUCGGUUUUCCUAAGCAUUAAUUUACCUAUAUUUUUUAAGGAUGUACCUAUUUUUAUUAAAUUAAUAUAAAAGGCUAAAUUCAAUUUUUUAUGAAAAAUAUAUUUUCUUUUAUAUUUUAUUUUAAUUAAAAAUUAAAGAUUUUAACCAAAAAAAAAAAAUUAGAUCCAUAAUCAAUUUAAAAUCAUAAGAAAAAUGAUAUAAGCACCGUCACUUAUUGUGAUUUUGAUAUGAUAAAUUUAAAAUGAAAAUUAAAAGAAAAAUAAUGUAAAUAAUAAAAUAGUAUUACAAUGAUAUUUUUACUUUUACAUGUGAUAGAAUUUACAAAAUAAAUAAAUCUUUUGUUUAGUUUUAAUAUAAAAAAUCUUAUAUCUAAAUAAUAAAAUGGAAUUUUUAAAUUUAAACCUUAAUUUAUAAAAUGUAUUAUUAUAAUUAAUAUUUAAAAUCAUUGUUAUUUGUGGGAUAAUAUUUUCAUUUUUGUACAUUAUAUAUUUUGUUUUUAUUUAAUUUUUUAUAUUAAUUAUUUAUUAUACAUUAUCAUUUUAAGUUUAAUAUGUCAAAAAAAUAAUUAAAAUCAAUAAAUAUAGACAAAUUAGAGAGUAAAAAUAAAUUUAAAUUAAAUUAAAAAAUGCACGAGCAUAUUAAAAAGAAUAUAAAGGAAAAAAAGAAAAAUAAUAAUAAAAACUAUAAUAGGUGAUAAUGGAUUAUGGUGGCAGGAGAGGAAAAAAAAAAGUGGAAAUGUGACGAGUGGUAAGGGAGAUAUAUUGAUGUGAGAAAAAUAAUAAAAAUAAAUUACACAUGUACUUGUUAACAAGUUGUAUUAAAUUGAUGUAUACUUUGUCCUUUACUUUUAAGGGUAAUUAUGGAACAAAUUUGAAAGCACUAUUGGAGUGCAUGAAUAAACAAUAUUUUUUCUCAUUUUACACCAAAAUUAAAAAGAAAAAAAGUAAAGCUCCAAAAUCUCAUAUUUUUUGUAAUUGGUAUAUGGUUAGAUGAUUUUCCCUUUUUUUUAAGCUUGGGAUCAAAUGUGGAACCGAAGGUUGGACCCAUACACAUUAAGCAACCAUCUUUGAAAAACUUGUCCUCUGCACAUCUUAUCAUGUUUGGAAGUUAAAUGCAUUAACGGAAAAAGCAUAGUUCAAAGUCGCAAUAUCGGUUAUUGACUCGGAAAGUCAUGAGGCAUAUCAGUAUCGAUGUCUCGCUUCGAUAUCAGGUGAUACGUAAAAUAAGAUAAUUAAAAUUUUCAAAAAAUUAUAAAAUUAUUAUAUAAAUUAAAAAAUAAUAUAUAUAUCUAUAUAUAUAUAUAUAUAUAUAUAUAUAUAUAUAUAAUUAAUUAAAUAAACUAAAAAUUUUAAUAAAACAAAUUUUUUUCACAUUUAGCUCAAAGUUAUUUGUGAUAAUAUUAAAAUUUGAGGAUUUAAUUCUCACUUUGCCAUAUAAACACUUUAAUUUAUCAUUAAAUCUCAUAUAUACCUUUCAUAUCAUUUUACUUUAGCAAAUCGGGUACUCAAUUCUCUUAAUAUGUUAUUAUUAAAUCAUAUUAAAGUGUUUAUAUGAAAGGUAUUUUCCAUGUAAAUUGGGACUCAAUUCUCCAUGUAAAUCCGUAUAAAAGAUAGUUUUUUACUUUACUAAUUUGAGCUCCCAAUCUCCCACUCUCGCCACCGUUGCUGUCAAGACCCAUAACAGACCUCCCAAUCUCCCACCCUCACACGCCACCAUGCCGUCAAGACCCACAAUAAACGAUACCACCUGCAAUUGUAAAUUUGCAACCAUGUAAGACCUAACAUGGGAAGGGGAGCAAUCUGAUUGUGAGGGGGUUGUCUUGUCGACGUCGCCGAUGAAAGAUUCAGUCCACUUAACGAGUCACCACCGUCGACACCAAAGCUCCACCCUCUGGUGAUGCUCGAUUUUGAGGAAAAUCAGGUAAGUAAAUCCUAAAUCAUGUCCUCAUCCUUCGGUGGUUUCUCCACUUAUUUCCGAACAAAUCACGGUUUGGGUUUUUUUCUUCGUCUUCUUUGAUCUUCUCAUUAAUGGUUUAAAAUUUCAGAAUAGGUGUUUUCUUUUGAAAGGGCAAUGUUUGAUUAUUAUUUUUUUUAAUUUUAUGAAAAUUUUGAAAAUUCUUUGUAACCUCACCGAGUCAACCAAGUUAACUUGGAAACUCAGACAAGUCAAUCGAGUCUAACCGAUUCCCAGCCGAGUUCAUGCAUUAUACUGUAUCUGGUAUCAGUCUCGUCGCGGCAAGUAUCGAGGCAGAUACGACUUGGCUGAGUCAUACCGGACUCAGCUGAUACUUUGAACCCUGGGCAAAAGUGAAGACAACGAAGAAGAGCAAGGUAAAGCUAGUUAACAACCACAACUGCAAUCACUCCCUGGAAAUCAUGCUUAAAUCCAUAAAAAUAAUCCAAGUAUUGUACCACGGUUACAUUUCUAUCUGUUAGCAUCUCCUCUACAUCACCAAACUGUGAUGUAAUCAUUCCAUACAAGGUCCAUGCAACUGGAAAUAUCCAAUAGUACCAUCUCCACCACACAGGAAUCCUCUGGAAUCUAUCAGGGAAGAAAUGCAACACAAUGAAUCAUUUCUAUAUCCUUAUGAUAAUGUAAUUUGGAUUUGAGAAACAAUUAUAUAUGGGUUGAGAGUGCUUACGGUUCGUGGGACUGUAAAGCCUGAAAAGAGUUUCCACAAUCCAUAAAAUGCAGCACCAGUGACGGUAGCAACGUGUUGAUUCGGUGUAGCAUCCACAGCCAUCAUGCCAUAGAAGGUGAAGUACAACAAGGUGAAGAACAUGAAGAAGAGAUGUCAGAGGAACUUAGUGGCCAUCCAUUCAUAUCCGAUCAUUAAAUAAACUAUAAGACCAUAUACAACAGUUGUACAAAGAUAUAUGGGAUCUCAACAUAAGUCUGCAACAAGAGAUGAAAUUUUAGUAGGAAAUGACAUAAAAGUAAUACAGAUCUGCAAUGUCUAUAGCAUAAGAAGACUAGUUACCUGUGCGAAGGCAUAUGCCAUGGCUGAAUACAUUCCUGCAUCUCUUUCUCUAUAAAAGACUGUUCUUUCAACUACGACUGGCUUCACGGAAUGCGGAAUUUUGAAUCCCAAGGAAGAUAACAGCAGAAAACAUAGCACCUAUUGCAUUAUCCAAAUCUAUUGACCUUUUUCUGCAUUUUACAAUGAAGGUAUAAGUUAAAGUUGAUUUAGAGAAACGUAUGAAUUGGACUGACUUCCACUUACCUUCUAGUGCCGAGAUCCCAGAACAUUGUCCCAAGCAUCAAGGCUAUGCCAACUGUGAAAAGAAAUCUCACUGCAGUGUAUGGUGUGUUGCGCCAGUAUGACAACCGUUGUUUCCAUAAGUUUGCCAUGCGUUGGGUGAAGAAGGGUUGGCAGUAUUGAGUAGGGAAAUAGUGCUCCUUUGAACCGGGGGCAGGUUGGCUCAGUUUUUCAAUUAAAUCUUUGUUUCUCCUGAAACAUAUGCCACAUGUAAGAAAUGGCUUAAACAACAAAUUUAAGCUUUCAUGAGAAACCUAUAGUUGAAUCACCUGAAUAGGUCGGAAUUUUUGUAUAUUUCCUUGAAAUCAACCCCCAAAAAUACUUCUUGUGCUGUAGUGGUAACUUCCAACAUCCAAGUUGCAGGGUUAUAACUUUCUUUGAUUUUUACUGACUCCUUCAAUUCCCUUCACAAAAGGAAGUCAUAUGCAUCAGUAAGCACUUGAUAUGAAUUAACUCAAACUAAAGCAUCACUGCCAAUUAUUUUUGCUAUAUGCCAUGGCAACUUAACUCAAAAUACUUUAUCAAUUGGGAAGAAUGUCUACCCAGUGGUCCCACUUAUAUCUCUUGUCCUCCGUGCUUCAUCAGGAGCAACUGCACACCCAUUUUAAAUAAUUCAGUACUUAUCUGCCAAGGAUUAACAAGAGAAACCAUAAAUUAUUUCUGUCCACGAAAAAUUCCUACCUCAUCGAAGGCUUCAAAUAUGUCAAUACUUAGUUGAUGGAUGGUGCACACAACUGUUUUUCCUGUGUCCACUGUGUUCCUAACUGUUCUCAUAAUAAUUGCAGCAGCUCUUGCGUCUAGCCCUGAAGUUGCCUCAUCCAUGAAUAUUAUUGAAGGAUUUGCCACAACUCAACAGCAAUAGUUAGCCUCUUAUGCUGCUCAGUUGAGAGACCAUUCACACCUGGCAACCCAACCAGUGCUCCCUUCAAUGGGGUCAGUUCCAUGAGCUCCAUGACUUCGUCAAUGAACAUCUGUGACCACUAGCAAGGAUUAGAAAUUGUUUAAAAAACAAUGCAAAAUAAAAAAAAUAAAAAAGAAAAAAGAAAAAAUUCACACUGCUUGUGAUUCUUUUCUAAUAGCAGGUUGUGAACUUUGUCUUGUCUUGUUAAACCAAUCAGUUAAUUGAUGGAAAUGGCUCUUUUAUGCUUAAUAACACUUGCUUGCAUGAACUUCACCCAAUUGGAUUCUAGGACAAUGAAAUUUCGACCAACAUUUUUCCUUAGGUGAAGGUCAAGCCAAACUUGAACCUGAUCUUAGCCCAACCAAGUCAAGUUUGAAAAAUCAAUUCUAAAUAGGCUUAGCUUGUUGAGAGCGAUAAAUUGAAUAAGAAAAAUGUGGAAACAAGGAAACUCACCUUUCUGGCAGCAGAAUCCACAUCAGAAGGUAACCGCAGCCAAGCUGAGUAGACCAAGGACUCAUAGACAGUAACAUGAGGAGAGUGGAUAUCAUUCUGCGCACAGUAUCUAGAAAUUCGAGCAAAAGUUUCUUUCUUCUUUAGGUAGCCAGAAAUGGUGAUGUUACCCUCAAUAUAUCCACCAGUUUUCCGACCAGCCAGUACAUCCAUGAGAGUGAUUUUACCAGCACCGCUAACACCCAUCAGAGCUGUAAGAACACCAGGCCUGAAAGCACCACUCACCCCCUUCAAAAGCUCCAAUCUGUCUUCAAGGACACCCUAAUUCUUCAUUUCCUGCAAGUUCAAUUCAAACCACUUAGUACUCAUCUGCAGUUAAAACGUGUAUAUUGUUUGCAUAAAUUUGACAUUACCUGUGGCAUGUCAACUGAGUAUCUAAUAUUAUCAAAGGUGAUUGAAUGUGGUUGGAAUGGAAGAAGCGUUCCUUUUUUCUUGUUCUGGUUAGCCUCAACAACAGCUCUAGACCUCACAGCUGCAGAUGAGAUAACUUGCCCUCUUUCCUCUAGUCUCUCUGCAUGUUGAGCUCAAAUCUAAUUAGCCAUACAAGUUAAAAUGACAACAUAGGCACACAAAGGCAUGCAUACACCAUGUAUGAGUUUCCACCUAUGGAUGCAGUUUGGUCAAUAGAGUCAGUCUUGUCAUUAAUUCUCUUACUCUUCUAUUAUAAAAGCUUGAGGCUUAUCAUAUGUUGCAAGAUUUGUACAAAUUUUAAUAAACUAGAUCCAAUUCUUAUGAGUUCAAAGCAGAGAAGAUAAAGAUGCUCACGAUCUAGGUAAGUGAGAGCCAUAGUAUAACAGAUGUUGAAGUCAAUCAGGAAUCCAAUCUGUGCCCCAACUCCUAGCUAGUACCAGUAUGACUCUGUGAAGAAACCGUGAGACUUUAAUAUUGCGACUCAUAGGGAUACUUUUGAAUUUGUAGAUACAUUCUGAAAAAAAAAAAAAUUGUUCAAUCAUCAGCCAACUUUUGCAGACUGACAUAAGUAAACACAAAUAUUCACAUGGAAAAUUCAAGAACUUACAUGUCUCCAACUCUUCGCGAGGAAUUCAUUUACCAUUAUUGAGGUCUGUGCAUACAUCAGAGGGGAAGACCAGACACCCCAUUUCCACCAUUUCUUGAUAUUUUCUGCAGUACUCACCAAACACAAAAAGGAAACAAAAAAAUCAUUGUUAGGGUUUAUGCAGAAGAAGGUUCGACUUUUCCCAAAAAAAAAAAAAAAAAACUUGCCUCAUUAUACCUCGAGAUAGGACAAAACCACCCAAUGCGAAAAGUAGAAGUGUUGCAAAUGACCCGAAUGUGUUUGCAACAAUCAUGUUUCGACCGGUUGAUGCUAUAAGUCGGAAUAAUGCAGAUGCCAUCUGAUUAACAAUCAAAAGAAGAAGAAGAUACUGUCUAAACAACCUGCAAUGAGAAGAUUUGUUUUAUAGAGAAAACAUGUGAAACAAAUUUCGACAAGUUUCUACAAAUUCCUAACUUGUAACUUUUACCUUUCCACACAUGGAUCCAAUCCGAAGACAUAAUAAGCAGAGAACACCCAAACACUAACUUCACAAAAUGUGAUUAGGAUCUUGAGAAUGAUUGUGGGAAGAGCAUAUGUCCAUGAAGGAAAGAAGAAUAGGUCUCUUUGCUUGUAAAAGACAGGAAGUCUAACAAUGGUCAUGGCAAUUUCUGAUAUUCCAUUAAACAAGAUCAUGAUCACAGUGAAAAACAAAUAACCAAUGUAUAUGAUUCUGUUGAAUGACAUGUCCUAGGAGUCGUUGACAUGGAGCUGAGUAGAUUGAAGUGGAAGUAGUCAAAUAAGUUAGUCAUGUGGAAGAUUUACCUAUUCCUUAGGAAGUAUUUGUUGGUUUGUUUCUAUUUUUUAGGAAGUAUCUAUAAGUAGCAAGUUUGUUGCUAUUUUUUAUGUUUUUCUUUUUUAAGCUAGCUGUAUAAAUAAGUGUUUUAAAGCUUAAUAAAAAAUUACUUCAGAUUCCUCAACGUUCUAUUGCUUCCUGAGAGUUUCUACACUUUGUUUCUAUCAAAACCCACAAAUUGUAUCAGAGCCAGGUUCUUGAGUAACCUGUGAGCCGAUGCACCACCAUCUACCCUAUUUACAGAAAGUAUCCAGAAUGACCUCAGAAGCUUCAUUGAAUGCACUAGCACCUCUAGUGUUUGAUGGAAUAAAUUAUCAAGUGUGGGUUGUUCGUAUGGAAGCCUACCUUGAUGCUAGUGAUCUGUGGGAAGCUGUUAGUGAGGAAUAUGAAGUUCCUCCCCUAUCCGACAAUCCAACUAUGGCUCAAAUAAAACUACACAAUGAGAGGAGGCAAAGGAAAUCAAAGGCAAAAGCUAGUCUAUUUACAGUUGUCUCAUCUACAAUUUUCACCAGAAUCAUGACACUGAAGACAACAAAUGAAAUAUGGAACUUCCUGAAUAAGGAAUAUGAAGGAAAUGAACGAGUCAAAGGUAUGCAAGUGCUGAACUUGAUUAGAGAAUUUGAGAUGCAAAUGAUGAAAGAAUCAGAAACAAUCAUGGAUUACUCAGACAGACUUCUUAGUAUUGUUAACAAAGUAAGACUUCUUGGUACUAACUUUUCUGAUUUUAGAAUAGUUUAGAAAAUUUUUAUAACAGUUCCUGAAAAGUUUGAGACUACAAUAUCAUCUCUAGAAAACUCAAAAAAUGUGUCAAGUAUCACCUUGGCAUAGCUGUUGAAUGCAUUACAGACUCAAGAACAAAGGAGGUUAAUUAUGAGACAAGAAGGAUCUGUGGAGGGUGCAUUUCAGGCCAUAUCUCAGUACAAGAAAGAGAUGCAAAGCAACAAUAACAGAAGCAACAACACUCAAAAGUUUCCACCAUGUCCUUACUGUAAAAAAUCCAAUCAUCCACAAAAAAGGUGUUGGUGGAGGCCGGAUGUAAAAUGUCACAAGUGUGGUCAGCUAGGGCAUGUGGAAAGGAUAUGCAAAUCUCAACAGCAGCAAGGAAAAGUUAAGGCUGUUGUGGAAGAACUUCAAGAUGAGCAACUGUUUGUGGUAUCAUGCUUUGCCACUAGCAGCUCCCUAGAAACUUGGCUUAUAGACAGUGGUUGUACAAACCAUAUGACUUGUGAUCAAGGGCUCUUUAAGGAACUUGACAAGACUGUUACUUCCAAAGUUAGAAUUGGAAAUGGAGUAUAUUUUGCAGUAAAAGGAAAAGGAACAGUGGCAAUUGAAGGCCACACAAGUUUGAAAUUAAUCUCUAAUGUCUUAUAUGUUCCUGAGAUUAAUCAAAAUCUGUUGAGUGUUGGUCAACUACUGGAAAAAAACUAUAAGGUAUUUUUUGAGGACGGUCAUUGCAUGAUUGCUGAUGCACAAGGCAAAGAGGUAUUUAUAGUCCAAAUGAAAGACAAAAACUUUUUCUUGGAUUUGAUGCAAGAAGAACAGGUUGCAAUUCACAAAGAAGAAAACAAUACAAUGCUUUAGUAUAGGCUUUUGGGGCACUUUCAUCAUACCGCCCUUCUCUUUAUGAAGAAGAACGAUCUUGGAGAAGGCUUGCCUGAAUUAGAGGUGAAGCCUCCUACUUGUGUGGCCUGUUGGUAUGGGAAACAAACAAGACUUCCUUUCCCACAAAACAAGGCCUGGAGUGCUACUCAGAAGUUGUAAUUAGUACACACUGAUGUGGGAGGACCUCAGAGAACACCAUCACUGAAUGGUAGUAAGUUCUAUAUUGCUUUCAUUGAUGAUCACACAAGAAUGUGCUAGAUUUAUUUCAUGAAAUUUAAAUCUGAAGUUGCUAACAUCUUUUGGAAGUUUAAAGCUUAGGCUGAAAAUCAAAGUAAAUGUAAAAUGCAAGUGAUCAGGUCUGAUAAUGGAACUGAAUACACCUCGGAGAAAUUUAACAAAUUUUGUGAGGAUGCAGGCAUUGAGCACCAGCUUACAACACCUUAUACCCCUCAACAAAAUGGAGUUGUUGAGAGGAAAAAUAUAACACUUAUGGAAAUGACAAGGCGUUUGCUACAUGACAAAGGGCUACCAAAAAAAUUCUAGGCUGAGGUUACACAUACAUUAGUCUUUCUGCUGAAUAGACUGCCAACAAAAGACUCCAUUUGAAGCAUGGUAUGGCUAUAAACCAAGGCUGCAAAAUUUAAAACAUUUGGUUGUCUUUGUUUCUCUUUUAUUCCACAUGUUAAGAGAGACAAAUUGGAUAAGAAAGCAAAAGCUGGGAUCUUUAUAGGCUAUAGCUCAAUAUCAAAGUCCUAUAGAAUCUACCUUCCAGAAAACAACAAAGUAAUAGUUAGCAGAGAUGUCAAAUUCUUCAAAUCAGAAAGUUGGAGUUGGGAGAAUGAUAAGAAGCUUGUGUUUAAAGAGAAUCUUGAGUUCUAAAAUGACCUUAAGUUUCAAGAGAAGAAUGAAAAUAUUGAUGAUGAACCUAUCAAGGGAACCAGAUCACUCUCUAACAUCUAUCAUGGGUGCAAUGUUGCUAUAAUGGAGCCUACAAGGUAUGAAGAAGCUGCAGUUGAUAAAAAAUGGAUGGAUGCAAUGAAGGAUGAGCUUAUAAUGAUUGAAAAAAACCAAACUUGGGAGCUAGUGGACAAACCAACACACAAAAUGGCAAUUGGAGUCAAGUGAGUUUAUAGAACCAAACUCAAUUCUGAUGGUUCUAUAAACAAACACAAGGCAAGACUAGUUGUCAAAGGAUAUGCUCAGAUGUUUGGGGUGGAUUUCUCUAAGACUUUUACCCCAGUUGCUAGAUUGGACACUAUAAGAAUGUUGUUGGCUCUUGCUGCUCAAAAGGGUUGGAAUAUACAUCAGAUGGAUGUCAAAUUAGCCUUCUUGAAUGGAUACUUGGAGGAAGAAAUUUUUGUGGAGCAGCCUGAAGGUUUUAUUGUUCAAAGAAUGGAGGAGAAAGUAUAUUUGUUGAAAAAGGCCUUGUAUGGUUUAAAACAGGCACCAAGGGCCUGGUACAGCAGGAUUGAUUCACCUUUGUUAGGCUUAGGCUUUACAAAAAGCCUAAGUGAAUUUACUCUAUACUUCAGGAAGGUUUGUGAUGAAACACUUGUGGUAUCUUUAUACGUUGAUGAUCUACUUAUGACAGGAAGCAGUAUGGAGCAAACUGACAAUUUCAAAAAGAAAAUGAAGGAUGUUUUUGAGAUGACUGAUCUUGGGAGGAUGACAUUCUUUCUUGGCAUGGAGAUACAACAAAAGCAGAAUGAGAUGUUCAUAUGUCAACAGAAAUAUGCCAAAGAAAUCCUGAAAAAGUUCAAGAUGGAAUAGUGCAAUCCAAGUGCAACUCCAAUGAAUCAAAAUGAGAAGUUUUGCAAAGAAGAUGGAGCUGCAAAAGUUGAUGAAAGGCUUUACAGGACCAUUAUCGGGUACUUGAUGUACCUAAAGACAACUAGACCAGAUAUUAUGAAUGCUGUAAGUUUACGCUCAAGGUACAUGCAUUGUGAUAGUGAAAUUCACUUCCAAACAGCAAAAAUAAUUGUUAGAUAUGUCAAGGGUACAAUUGACUAUGGUCUGAGGUUUUGUCAAGUUAAAAACUUUACUCUCCAUGGUUAUUCAGAUAGUGAUUAGGCAGGUUGUGUUGAUGACAUGAGAAGUACUUUAGGUUAUUGUUUCAGCAUUGGUUCUACUAUUUUUUUCAUGGUGUUCCAAAAAGCAAGAAGUCAUAGCUCAAUCCACAGUAGAAGCAAAAUAUGUAGUUGUUGCUAUUGUUGUGAAUCAAGCUCUCUAGAUCAGGAAAUUGAUGGCUGACUUGUUUAUGGAGCAAAAGAAAAACACACAAAUACUCGUAGACAACCAAGCUGCAAUUUCAAUUGCAAAUAAUCCGGUGUUCCAUGGCAAAACAAAACAUUUCAAGCUGAAACUUUAUUUCCUAAGAGAGGUACAGAAGGAGGGAGAAAUACAGUUGGUCUACUGCAAAACAGAGAGUCAAAAUGCUGAUAUCUUAACCAAGCCACUUCCCAAAGCUAGAUAUGAGUUCUUGAGGCAAAGGCUUGGAGUCUACAGUUCCAGAGACAAGGAGGAGUGUUGAAUGACAUGUCCUAGGAGCUACUGACAUGGAGCUGAGUACAUGGAAGUGGAAGUAGUCAAAUAAGUUAGUCAUGUGGAAUAUUUACCUAUUCCUUAGGAAGUAUUUGUUGGUUUGUUUCUAUUCUUUAGGAAGUAUCUAUAGGUAGCAGGUUUGUUGCUAUUUUUUUUAUGUUUUUUUGUUUUAAGCUAGCUGUAUAAAUAAGUGUUUUGAAGCUUAAUAAAAAAUUACUUCAGAUUCCUCAAUGUUUUGUUGCUUCCUGAGAGUUUCUACACUUUGUUUCUAUCAAAACCCAUAGAUUCCAUCUUCCAUUGAACAUUUGUGCAUAUGAGUUCUUAGGAAAAGUGUCAUUGCAAUGAGUGCCAUUAUUAUGAGCUAAAAACAUAAAAGAAUAAAUAAAUUAGGAUCGCAUAUUCAAAAUUAUAAGCCAUCAUCGUAAGUAACAAUAAUAAUAACACUCACUUGGAUGAGCUUUAAAAUAUAGACAAAUGAGUUCCUCUUCAUCAGCAAGUGCUCUCUUGAGAGGUAAGCAACCAACAAUUCUUUCUUGCUAAUUCCAUACUUUUUGGUUGUCAAAGCAGUUGGAUGGCUUUUGGCCUUGUUAAUUGGAGUUGCAAGCUCUUUUGCUAGUUGCUCUCCAACAUGAAAUGACUGGAAUGCCUCAACAAAUUCCUUCGCUAUGGCAAACCUGUAAGGCUCAUUUUUUAGUGUCCAAUACUGCUCAUGAUCUUUCCUAGAUGUUACCUGCAAUGAAUUCAGUUUUCAAAAAGACUAAUUGUGCAUCUUAAUAUGUAAAUCUUAUCUUCUAGCUUGAUUUUAUCUAAAAGAAGAAAAUACCAAAAACUACAAAGCUAGAUUUGCACUCACUUCUUGGAGGAAGUCUGUCACGCCCUUUCUUUGAGGACAUUUGAAGCCCAUUGACUAAAAAAAUUCAAGCACAUUUUCACGAGGUCCUUGAUAAACAAUAUGACUAUCAAAGAGGAGAAUGAUGUCAUAAAAAAAAUCACAAGUCUCAAGUGGUGGUUGGAAGAGAGAAAUGACAGCAAUCCCAUUAAGAAUGUGGAUGGUUUGCCUGAGAGAAUUCACAAUUUGACAAGUUGUUGAGUUGUCCAAGCCAGUAGAGAUCUCGUCCAUGAAUAGCGCCUUUGAUGGACCGACCAGCAUCUCACCUAUCAUUCAAACAUUUCUCAUAAUUAAAUUAAAUUAAAUCAAUGAACCAUACAUAUAAAUACAUAUGUAGUUUUUUUCUUAUUCUUUCGGUUAAAAACCAAAUUAUUCAACCUGUUGUCACACGCUUCCUUUGUCCUCCAAAGAUACCUCUUAUCAUUUCAUCUCCUACCAUGAUAUCAGCACAGAUAUCUAAUCCCAGAAUCUGUGGAUAGAAGCAGGCAUAAAGACAAAUAAACAAAGUAUGAGCUAGUAUUGGCUUUUCUCAUAAAUCCGUAUGUCAUCAUUGAAAGUCAUAUGGUUAUAGUACCUUCAUUAUAUGAUCAGUGACCACACUUUUCUUUUGGCCUUCAGUUGCUACUGCCUGAAAUAUUAGAAACUAGUAAUGACAAUAUUAGAAACCAAUUCUGUUCAGUACAUUAAGAAAUUCCGUGGAUAAAAGAUUUUGCAAUAGAGCAAAAUUCAGGAAUAAGAUCGACUCAAGCCAUUCAAAAGAGUACAAAAAGAAGGGAACAAACUCCAGAAUAGACACAACAUCAAGAAUACAAAGCUAAUUUGCCUAUUUAUGUCAAGAGAUCAAAAUUUUCAUUCUAGGGAAUACAAACAUCCAUGUUCUCCACUAAAAGCAAAUAGAUCAAAUUUAGAAGAACUGGUACAAAUUUUAUUGAAAGUAGCUUCUGUCUCACCUUCAUGAAGACAUUGAUAUCAGGAUCAAGCUUAAUGUUUGAUGUUUUCUCUCUUCUUGCGAGCUCUGCUAACAUUUUUGCAGAUAGCCAAAAUAAGAGUCAAUCUCCUAGCCUAUACAAAUGAGAUAUAACUGCAUUGGCAAUCUUCAAAAAUAGAGAAAAUAAAAGGCAAAGGCAAUGGCUUCGACUAACUAAAUCGAUCUCUAACACCCUGGCAUCUUGUAGAGAAGGCCAAGGUUUCUUGUACAGUCAUUUCUCCAAGAUGGGUAUCAUGUUGACUGAUAUACGCAGCAGUUCUCUAUUGUACAAACUCAUUCAUGCCAUGACCAUUGUAUGUCACUCUUCUAGUAACCUAAAGAAGAAAUUCCAGUUUUCAAAUUAGACAUAAGAUAAAACAGCUAAAAUUUGAAUAGUCAUGAUUAUUUUUUUCAUUCAACCUUCAGAUUGGGAUCAACAGUUUGGCGACCCGACCCAAAUAAUAUUGCAUGAUUUUUUAAUGGAAGAUUUACUGAGGCUUGUUGGGCCCGUUUAGCCCAUUGUGGAACCACAUUUUGUAAUUAGAGUUUUUUAGUGUGGUGUGGUUGUCGUGUUAUAUAUAGAGAGAAAAUAUUGUAGCUGCAGUAGUUGUACUCUGUAUUUUUCCCUGAUAAUAGUGAUAUCCCUGCAACUCCGUGGACGUAAGCAAAUUGUCGAACCACGUAAAUACUGUCCUAUGCAUGUGAUUGUUUUUUUUUCUUUGGCGUGUGUUUUUUCUAUUUUUUGUUUCUCACGGGUUAGGAAUUCGCCUUAAUUCCCUACAACUGGUAUCAGAGCCUAGGGUUAGGUUUGAGUGGGAGCAAUGACAGAGGAAGCAGGAAAGGCAUUUGGAAUAGAAAAGUUUGAUGGCAUAGACUUUGCGUAUUGGAGGAUGCAGAUUGAAGAUUAACUCUAUGGGAAGAAAUUGCAUUUGCCUAUUUUGGGGACAAAACCUGAGAGUAUGAAGGUUAGGGAAUGGGUGCUUCUUAACAGAUAGAUUCUAGGAGUUAUUAGGUUAACUCUGUCUAGGUCUAUUGCACACAAUGUUGUAAAGGAAAAUACCACAGCAGAUCUGAUGAAGACUUUGUCUGGUAUGUAUGAAAAGUCAUCCGCAAACAAUAAGGUGUAUCUGAUGAAGAAAUUGUUCAAUUUGAAGAUGGCAGAGAAUGCAUCAGUAGCAUAACAUCUGAAUGAAUUUAAUACAGUCACAAAUCAAUUGUUGUCUGUAGAAAUUGAUUUUGAUGAUGAGAUUCGUGCUCUGAUCGUCUUGACUUUUUUUCCAAACAGUUGGGAAGCAAUGAGGAUGGCAGUAAGCAAUUCUACAGGAAAGGAAAAGCUCAAGUACAAUGAUAUACAAGAUUUAAUUCUGGCUAAGGAGAUUCGCCGAAGAGAUGCAGGCGAAACCUCAGGAUCUAGUUCUGCCCUAAACCUUGAGACAAGAGGCAAAGGUAAUGACAGAAAUUCAAAUCGGGGUAGAUCAAAAUCCAUAAUUCUAAUCGGAACAGAAGCAAAUCUAGAUCAAGCGAACAAGUAUAAUGCUGGAACUGUGGGAAAAUAGGUCACUUUAGAAGGCAAUGCAAAAGUCCUAAGAAGAAGAAUGAAGAUGAUUCUGCUAAUGCUAUAACAGAAGAGGUACAGGAUGCAUUACUUCUUGCAGUAGACAGUCCACUUGAUGAUUGCGUUUUGGAUUCAGGAAUUUCGUUUCAUACCACUCCACACCGAGAAAUCAUACAGAAUUAUGUUGCAGGUGAUUUUAGUAAGGUGUAUUUGGCUAAUGGUUCAGCCUUGGAUGUUGUGGGUCUGGGAGACAUCCAAAUAUCAUUGCCCAAUGGGUCUGUUUGGUUAUUGGAGAAGGUUCGACAUAUUCCUGACCUGGGGAAGAAUCUGAUUUCUGUUGGACAACUUGAUGAUGAAGGACAUGCAAUACUAUUUGUUGGUGGUACUUGGAAGAUUACAAAGGAAGCUAGGGUAUUAGCUCGUGGAAAGAAGACUGGUACUCUAUAUAUGACCUCAUGUCCAAGAGACACAAUUGCAGUUGCUAAUGCAAGUAUUGAUACAAGUCUAUAGCACCGUAGACUUGGUCACAUAAGUGAGAAAGGGAUGAAGAUGCUAUUGUCAAAAGGAAAACUACCAGAAUUGAAGUCCAUCGAUUUUGACAUGUGUGGAAGUUGCAUCUUAGGAAAGCAAAAAAAUGUGAGCUUCUUGAAAACUGGCAGGACAGUGAAGGCUGAAAAAUUGGAACUAGUACACACUGAUUUGUGGGGGCCUUCUCCGGUUGCAUCCCUUGGAAGUUCAUAUUUAAAAGUUUUUUGUUGUGUUUCUUAUGUUCAUAUUGAUUCUGAUGCUCGUAGUAAACUUAAUGCAAAGUCAAAAAUAUGUUUUUUCAUUAGCUAUGGUGAUGUGGUUAUAGGUUUUGGGAUGAACAAAACAGGAAAAUCAUCAGAAGUAGAAAUGUGAUAUUUAAUGAACAGGUUAUGUAUAAGGACAGGUCAACUAUAGUGUCAGAUAUUACAGAGAUAGAUCAAAAGAAAUCUGAGUUUGUCAACUUAGAUGAAUUGACUGAAAGUACUGUCCAAAAAGGGGGUGAAGAAAAUAAGGAGAAUGUAAAUUCACAGGUAGAUCUGAGUACACCGGCCUAUAACUGAAGUUCGUAGAUCUUCUAGGAACAUUAGACUUCCAGAGCGUUAUUCACAUGUUUUAAAUUAUCUCAUGUUGACUAAUGGUGGUGAGUCAAAGUGUUAUGAUGAAGCCUUGCAAGAUGAGAAUUCAAGCAAGUGGAAGUUAGCCAUGAAAGAUAAGAUGGAUUCCUUGUUGGGGAAUCAGACAUGGGAACUGAUUGAAUUGCCAGUAGGAAAUAAGGUUUUGCACAACAAGUGGGUAUAUAGAAUAAAGAAUGAGCAUGAUGGUAGCAAACGUUAUAAGGCUAGAUUAGUUGUUAAAGGGUUCUAACAGAAGGAAGACAUUGACUACACAGAGAUAUUUUCUCUAGUUGUGAAGAUGUCAACAAUCAGACUUGUACUGGGAAUGGUGGCUGAAGAAAACUUGAGCAAUUAGAUGUGAGGACAACAUUCCUUCAUGGUGACUUGGAGGAAGACCUUUACAUGAUUCAGUCAGAAAGAUUCAUUGUUCAGGGACAAGAGAAUCUAGUCUACAAACUAAGAAAGAGCUUGUAUGGCCUUAAACAAGCUCUUAGACAAUGGUAUAAGAAGUUUGACAGUUUUAUGCAUAGAAUUGGGUUCAAGAGAUGUGAAGCUAAUCACUGUUGCUAUGUUAAGUUUUUUGACAAUUCUUACCUCAUAUUACUGUUGUAUGUGGAUGAUAUGCUUAUUGUAGGGUCUAGCAUUGAGGAUAUUAAUAAUCUGAAGAAGCAAUUGUCCAAACAGUUUGCAAUGAAGGAUUUGGGAGCUGCAAAGCAAAUCCUUGGUAUGAGAAUCAUUAGAGACAAGACUAAUGGUAUAUUGAAGCUUUCACAGUCAGAGUAUGUGAAGAAAGUUCUCAGCAGGUUCAACAUGAAUGAAGCUAAACCAGUGAGCACACCCUUGGGAAGUCAUUUCAAACUAAGCAAAGAACAAUCACCGAAGACAGAAAAAUAAAUGGACCAUAUGAGCAAGGUGCCCUAUGCCUCAGCUAUUGGCAACUGAUGUAUGCUAUGGUGUGUACAAGGUCAGACAUUGCACAUGCAAUGGGAGUUGUGAGCAGAUUCAUGAGUAGGCCUGAAAAGUAGCAUUGGGAGGCAGUCAAGUGGAUUCUAAGAUAUUUGAAGGGUUCAUUAGAUACAUGUCUUUGCUUCACAGGUGCAAGUUUGAAACUAUAGGGUUAUGUAGAUGCUGAUUUUGCUGGUGAUAUUGAUAGUAGAAAGAGUACUACUGGGUUUGUUUUUACUCUAGGUGGUAUAGUUAUAUCAUGGGUUUCAAAUCUACAGAAGAUUGUUACUUUGUCUACUACAGAAGUUGAGUAUGUUGCAACAACUAAAGCUGGAAAUGAGAUGAUUUGGCUACAUGGUUUCUUAAAUGAAUUGGGUAAGAAGCAGAAAAUGGGCAUUCUACACAGUGACAGUCAGAGUGCAAUUUUUCUUGCCAAAAAUUUGGCUUUUCAUUUAAAGUCGAAGCAUAUACAAACAAAAUAUCACUUUAUCCGUUACCUUGUUGAAGAUAAUCUGGUAACUCUUGAGAAGAUUUGUAGAUCUAAGAACCCGACAGACAUGUUGACUAAGGGUAUCACUAUUGAGAAGUUGAAGCUGUGCGCAGCUUCAAUUGGUCUUCUAGCUUGAGGACAUGAGGAUGAGUUGUAGGGAUGAAGGAUUAUUUCUUGGAGGAUAGCGGUUUGAUGUUGGUGAUUGAACUAGUCUCCAAGUGGGAGAUUUGUCGGGUUUUGUGGAGUCUAGUUUUGUUUGAUCCGGUUUGGUGACCCGACCUAAAUAAUAUUGUAUGGCUUUUUAAUGGGAGAUUUACUGAGGCUUGUUGGGCCCGUUUAGCCUAUUAUGGAACCACCUUUUGUAAUUAUGGUUUUUUAGUGUGGUGUGGUUGCCGUGUUAUUGAUUACUACCAAAAAGUGCUAUUUUGUAGACCUAAUUAUAAUGGUUUUAAGCACCUUUGAGUAGUAAUCAUAUUCAUUUAACCCAAUUAAUUCAUUAAGGUCCUUAGUAAUUGGUUUUAACCAUUUUGUGGGCAAGUUUACAUAUUUUUAUCAGCUUAUGAAUCAAUUCAAGCAUGCCAAAUGAUGGAGGAGCUACUUGGACAAGUUAUGGCAGUUAUAUAUAGAGAGAAAAUAUUGUAGCUGUCGUGGUUGUAUACUAUAUUCUUCCCUGAUAAUAAUGAUAUCCCUGCAACUCUAUGGACGUAGGCAAAUUGUCGAACCACGUAAAUACUGUCUUGUGCGUGUGAUUUUUUUUUUCUUUGGCAUGUGUUUUCUCUAUUUUUUGUUUCUCACAAGUUGGGAAUUCGGCUUAAUUCCCUACAAAGCUUUCCGGACAACGCCAAUUCAGAACUUGGAGGACCCAAAAGUAACGUCAAUCUGUAGAAAAAAAAAAUGCACAACAAUUGAAUAUAGAUCUUUGAGUAUAUUCUAAAUUCAAAGGAACUAUUCGUUUGUUUUAUUAAGUAAUCCAUUUUUACACUCGAAACGAAUUCAUACUCUCACCUACUAGGUUUGAUGAUUCCGCUAACAUCUCAAAGAAUAGUGAAUUUUCUCUUUCUAGUUCAAAGAAUCUGAAGACUAUGCAAGAUAUUCUUUAAAACAGAAGGAAAAUUAUAAUCUAUAAGUAUACAUAUCGAAAAGAGUAUUUAUUGCAUAGAUAAUGAUCUACAUUUGCAUUGUAGUUACCUCAACUUGAUUAAAAAUGAAAUUAAAGAAUGAAGGCAAAGCUCUGCUUCCUACAUAAGCUUCUCCAUCAAUAGUAAGAUGCUCAUAUCUAACUUCAUUUUGGGAAGUUCAAUCCCAACUCUGAAAAAAUGGAAGAGACAUGAAAACUCAUCAUUAAAAAGUUAAAGAAAGUUGUUUGGUUGGGGAGAAAAUGUAGGAAACAACUAUCAGGCAAACUCACCUAUCCAUACGAUUCUUGAGCUUCAACAAGAACUUCUCAUUGUACUCUUCAGCAAUUUUUAUCAACUGUUCCACUAAAUUCUUCUUGUCCUGAAGCCCAAGGUUGUGUAUAUCAACUUCAAUGGCCUCACCCUCUGAUCCCAGCAACAAACCUUUCCUCAACCGAUUGUAGGUGGGGGGUUUCUCAAGUGCGGCCCAUUUCAAAGCUUCCUCGUCAUCCUCACCCCUCGUAGAUUGGGAGAAAAUCUCGACGUCAGGGGUCCUCCAUCUCAUAGAACCAGCUCUACGAGUUUCAGGAGUCGACAUUGCAAACAAAAAGGAAGAACUCUCCUGCAAAACCAACAAGAACCCGCCAAAACCCGAACUGUUGAAAUUAUAAUCCAAGCUAAAGUCAAACUAAAAGAAUUUUAGGAAUUUGAUCAAUAUUAAAAAUUAUUAUUUAUUUAGAUUUAUAUGUUAAUUAAGACUUUUGGUAUAAUAGCAAUUGGAGUCUAGAAUAUAAACUCAUUUUUCUCUCUCUUAGUACAAUGUUAUGUCUUGUUGUAUUGCUGCUACUGCAUUGUAAAAAUCAUAUAGAAUGGAAGGUUUAUAUAGUGAUUGGUAGGACAGAAAAUGAAGCGUCAAAAGAUUUGAAACUGGUUUAUUUUCUUGUGAUUCUUUAAGUUAUGUUUGGUUUCUAAAAAAGUACUAAGAAAAGAAAAAAAAAUGAUUUUCUCAUGUUUAGUUUCAUAAUGAAAAAUACAAAAGAAAAUAAAAUAUAAUUAAAAUUUGUUAAAAUUUUAUAUAUUUUUAAAUUAUUUAAUCUUUAUAUAAUAGACGAAAAUAAGUAAAAUAACUUUGAAGAAAUAUAUUAAGGUUAUGUUUGGUUCCCGGAAAGUACCAAGGAAAGAAAAAAAAAUGUAAAGGAAAAUGGUUUUCUCAUGUUUGAUUUCAAUAUAAUUUUUUUUUAAAAAAAAUUAAAUAUAAUUAAAAUUAGUUAGAAAUUUAUACAUUUUAAAAUUAUUUAAUUUUUAUAUAAUGGAUGAAAUGAAGUGAAAUGAGUUUGAUGAAACAUAUAUAAAUAAUUUAUUAAUUUUAAAUUUAUUUUUUAUUUUCCUUUAUUUUUUCUUUCCUUCCACUUUUCCUUUUUAUUUUCUUUCCCUCACAUUUUCUCUUUAAUUUUCCGAGAACCAAACAUAGUCUAAAGUAAUUUAUUAAAUUUAAAUCUAUAUUAAUUUUUUUAUAUUUUUCUUUCUUUCUACUUUUCCUCUUUAUUUUCUUUCCUUCAUAUUUUUUCUCAUAUUUUUCGGGAACCAAACAUAGCCUAGAAAAUUGGUGAGGGAAAUCGACUAUAAAAGAGUCUGCACAACGACUUCAUAAUAAUGUACACAUGCCACCAUCUUUUUUUUUCCCUUCAACUUCCUAUAUUAAGACUUUCACAGUUGAUAAUUUUUGGUUUCUUACACUUUCUUUAGCAAGUAAAUAGAAAUGUGAAUUAUUGAAUGUUUUGUUAGUUUUUAAAAUAAGAAGAAAUAUAAUACUUAAUUUUAUACAUGUUUUCAAGCAUGUUUGGUAUGUGAGAUAUGAUAGGAUAGAGUAUUUAUAUUCUAUAAUAUCAAAUUCCAUUAAAUGAAAAAUGCAUAUUUUAAAAUAUAAUUUUUCAAUUAAAUAUGUUAUUUUUUUAUAUUAAAUCCAAUCGAUAUGAUAUUGUGAGAUGACAUAUCCAAUGCAUUUCCUAAAAUAAAUUAUUUCCAUAUAUUUUUAAGAUUAUCAAGUCUAAUGGAUAUAAUAUUCCAAGGUAACAUAUUUAAUGAGAUAGGUAAUGUAACGUUAUGCUUAUAUUUAAUUUGUAAAAUUAAUAAGAAAUAAAAUAGAAUAUAUAUUUUUUUAUAAUAUAUUUUGUAAAUUUUUUUUGGUUCUUCUAUUUUAACCAUAAAUUUAACUUCACAAUAAAAAAAUUAUUUUACUAAAUAAGUGAUAAAAAAUAAAAAAUAAUAAAAGAAAAAUAAAUUUAUAAUACAUAGGAUAAUAUAUCUCACUACUUAUCCUAUAAGGAAUAUAAAAAAGAUAUAGAUAAUAUAUCUCACUACUUAUUCUACCAUGUAUUACAUCCACCCAACCAAACCAUGACCUUACGGAUAUAAAAAAAAUUAAUGUUUAAUAACAUCCACAUUAAUGAAAACAAACAAUUUACUUAUAUAAACUAAACAAUCAAACACUCAAAUGAUAUUUCGCUCUAUUUAGACUAAUGAAAAAUAAACAAUUUAAAUAUUUAAUAACAUUCCACUUUAUUAAGCUUUAAGCUUAGAAUCUUAAAAAAUAAAAAUAAAAAUAAAAAAAAAAUAAAAAUUUACUUUAAGAAUUUUUUUUAGAGUUGUUUCAAAGUAAUGGGAUUAUUUGUUUUUUCUUUUUCAUUUAUGUCAUAAAGCAAAUUAUUUUAAAAUUUAAAAUCAAAAUAUAAAAAUUUAUUUUUUAUAUUAAGAUAAAAUUGUCUUAUAAAAAGUAACAAGUUAAAAAACAAAUAAUUUUAAAAAUGACUUAAGUCUUAACACUAUUAAGUAUUAUUUAGAUGCAAGGUUUAUUUAAUUUUAUUUUUUUUCAAAAAAAGCACCACCUUUCAAAUAAGAUUUAAGCAGGUUUAACCUCUUUGAAAUUGCUUGAAAUCUAGGAGGUUAUUUGUUUUUUAAACUUAAAUCUUAAAGCUAGUUGCUUUAAAAUUUAAGAUAAAAGUAAAUAAAAUAAAAUGAAAACUUUUGUUAUUAAGACAAAAUUUUCUUUUAAAAAUGAUAAACUAAAAAAAUAAUUUGAAAAAUGACUUCCAUCUUAAAGCAACUCUUUUUAUUAGGAUUGCCUCUCUAUCCUAAUUAAAAUUAAUAAUCAACUUGAUUUUGAGUAAGAGAAUAUCAAUGUUAACCAACAUUAUUUUCUAAUAAAAGUAUUUGUGAAAACGUAAACAUAUUUAUGCUUCAAUAAAUGGAAUACAUUUUUUAGUAAUAUAACCGUAUUUUAAUUUUGAAUAAAAAAAACAUAUUAGUCUAAUAAUCGAUAUUCAUAAUUGAUAAUAUCAUACAUUAAAAAUUAUUAAUGGCGAAUAACUAAUAUAUAUGGAUUAUUAAAGCAACUAUGAGCAUACAACCUAUGGAACUUGGUGUAAACUUUUUUGUGGAUCUGUUUUUUCUUUGCUAAUUAAAAAAUAAAUUAGUAAAGCAAUAACGAGCAUAGAAAUUAAUUAAAACAAUAACUAUCACUCAAAUGAAGUAUUAGGUUCUAUUGAUAAUUGUUUUUAAAAACAAUUUUUAGUCUCCAGAAUAAAAAUAAAAAAAACAAAAAAAAAACAAGAAAACAAGUUUGAUAAUAGAAAACAAAAAGCAUUUUAUUGUUUUGUUUUUUUUUUUAAGAAAAACAUUGUAUUUUCAAUCCUUUAAUUGUUUUCGCUUUUUUUUAAAGGAUUACUUUUUAAAAAUAAUCAUACAAAUAUGAAGAAUGAUUAAAAAUAAAACACUACAUAUAAAAAUUAUUUUUAAAACAUAUUUAAAAAUAUAAAAAACAUGUUAAUAAUAUUUUAGGUUUUUAAAUAGACUUUUGUUUUAUAAAAAAUCAAACAACAAUUUUCAAAAAUUAUUUUUAAAAAUUAUUUUCAAAAAAACACUUUUCAAAUACCCUAUCCUACCAACUAUAUAUAUAGACACACACAAUGCUAAUGAUUUUUAAAAGAAAAACAGUCACAUGAAAAAGGUAAUGAUAUUAGAGAGUAUAGAAGAACUUACUAAAUUGAAGAUCGAACAAGUCUUAGAAAAACAUUGUCAAUAAUACAUGGGAUGAUCAGAACGAUUUCAUAUAGCUACUGAGAUUGUCCUCAAAGUUGUUCUUAAAAAACAAAAAUACUAUAAAUGGUUGGAUCCAACCUUUCAAGGAAACCAAAGCCCUUUUCUUUUUUCUUUUUUUGAUAAAGAGAUUUUCAUUUUUUUCCUUCUAAAAGGAACAUUCUAUAUAUAGAAUCUAAAGGUAUCAAACUGUGCCUCCAAGUAGUUUGACUGUAAAGUACAAUUCAAUCCUACGUGUUGAUUGUUCUUUUGGUUUGCUAAUUGGUCAGGCAAUCGAUCUUUCCUCACGUGGUUUCCAUAUUAUCAUUUUUUCAUCUUUUUCCUCAUCAUUUUUAUCCUUUUCCAUAAAUAUAUAUAUAUAUAUAUAUAUAUAUAUAUAUAUAUAUAUAUAUAUAUAUUUAAAUUAUUUCAUUAGCAAUUUGUUGAAGACUUGAAAAUAAAUUAAAUAAGAGAAAUAUUCACAAAUUUUUUACUUAAUUAUUCAUGAUGACAUUAAUUAUGAGAGUAAGGUAUAACCAAAUAAGACUAAGAUGGUGUUUGUUUUUUUACUUAAUUCUAAAUAGAGUCUUAAUACUUAAUAGUGUUAAAUAUUAGGUUGUUUGUUUUUGUAGUAUUUUAUUUCUAUUAAGUAUUAAAAAGUAAAAAAAAUCAAUAUAUUAUUUUCUCUAUUUAGAAAAAGUUACAUAUUUUGGUUUUUUCUAUUUAGUAAAAAGUUUAUAAUAAGUCAUGAAAAAGUAGAAAAACAAACAACCUAAAUUUUAAAACUAAAUUGUUUUCAGCAAAAAGCUAAAAAAACAAACACCACCUAAGAUAGGAAAAAAUGAGACCAAAGAAUUUGUCUCUAAAAGGUAUGAAAAAAUGAGAAUCAAAUAUGAAUGAAGGAGAUAUAGGUAUAAACUUAAUAAGAAAAAUGUUAAUUAUGCUUAAAUCUAUGAAUUUAAGAAAAUCUAAAAUUUCGAUCAUAAUUAUUCAUGAUCACAUCAAAUUUAUAUAUAGGAAUGGUUGAAAAUAAUGAGAGCAAUGCAUAACCAAAUGGUACUAAGAUGGGAAAUAAUGAGACCAAAGAAUUUGUCUUUAAAAGGUAUGAAAAAAUGAGAUUCAAAUACCGAUUAACUAGAUAUAGGUAUAAAUUUAAUAGGAGAAAUAUUAAAUACGCUUAAGGUUAUGUUUGGUUCCAAGAAAAUAUUAAAAAAAUAAAAAAAAAAUAUAAAGGAAAAUGAUUUUCUCAUAUUUGAUUGUCUUAUGAAAAAUAUAAAAGAAAGUCAAGUAUAAUUAAAACUAAUUAGAAACUUACGUAUCUUUUAAUUAUUUAAUCUUUAUAUCGAUUAAUUAAAAUAAACAAAAUGAGUUUGAAGUAAUAAAUAAAAAUAAUUUAUCGAUUUUUAAUCUAUUUUUUAUUUUCCUUUCAUUUUCCCACAAAUUUUUGUGGAACCAAACAUUUGAAGUAAUAAAUGUAUGAAUUUAGGAAAAUCUAAAAUUUGGCCAUAAUUUUUCAUGAUUACAUCAAAUAUAUAUAGGAAUGGUUGAAAAUAAUGAGAGCAAUGUAUAACCAAAUGAUGUUAAGAAAAUAAUGAAAUCAAAUAAUUUGUCUCUAAAAGGUAUGGAAAAUGAGAGUCAAAUAUGAAUUAAUGAGAUACAAGUAUAAAUUUAAUAAGAGAAAUACUAAUAAUGCUUAAAUAUGUGAAUUUAAGAAAUUCUAAAAUUUUGACCAUAAUUUUUCUCAAAUCAAAUAUAUAUAUAGGAAUGUGUGGACCCCGCAUUUCGGCUCAUGCGUUUCCCACUCGAUGGCGAGCUCGAUUUUAAUUUGAAAUUUUGAUUUUAUUUAUUGUUUGAAAAUGACUUGGAGUCGCCACUUAUUUUUGUUUUAUUUUAAAGGGUAAACAAAAUAAGAAAGAAAAACCCUAAGUGUGACUCCUUGUUUUGGAAAAUGUGGUCUAUGAAAAACCGGAUCGAGUUCGGGGGUCAGGUUACUUAUCGAGAAGGUACGGUAGAGACCGUAGCACCCCUCUAAGUCCCUAAAAACAGGUCUCUACUAAUAAAAUAAAGCAAUCAUGGCAAUUGAUGAGUAAAUCAAUAAAUACCUAGGAUGGCCAUGCUCAUGUGAAAAUCAAAACACUCAAUAAGAACGAUCGAAGUGGGAGUGGAGCAUACCUUGGCACCAAACGAUCAGCGUCCAUCAAGAAAGGGGGUUAGCGCACAGUUAAGAAAUAAUAUCAUGCAUGUCAUAGAGCAGAAUAACUCAAUCAUGUACUACCAUCAAAUCAACUAAUUAAACAAUCAAUCAUAAAAACGUGUAUGUGGGGCCCCCACCAAAGCCCGAUUUAUAUUGCAUGAAUUAAUCCCAUAAAUUCCAUUAUUCGGAAUUACGGAAAAUUCAUUCUUGCUUAUUAAAGUCCAUAGGAGCAGAAGAUUGUUUGAAAGCCAUAGCGAAAUUAAAACUAUUCGGGAGAAAAUUAGAUUUUUGAAAUUUAAUUGAAAAAUUGGAAUCUCGAAGAUCACUAGAAAAUUGGAGUUUUAGAGUUUAUUUGGAGAUUAGACUUUUAGAGAUUGAAUGUGAGAAUGAGAAUUUUUAGAAACUGAAUUUGAAAGAGGUUGGAAUUUUGAAAACGAUUUGAAGGUUCGGGAUUUUAAAGAAAAAUUAAGUUGCGAAAAUUGAGACUUUGGGAGUUGAAUUUUGAAAGAUAUCAGAAUCGUAAGUUAUUUGAGAAAUAGAAAUUAUGAAAGUUGAUGAGUAAAAAUUGGAAAUCUUAGAAAUCAUUCGAAGGCGGAAUUUAUAGAAAUAAUGAAUAAGAUGAUAAUGAUAAUGAUAAUGAUAAUAAUAAGUAGUGGGAUAAAUACGGGAAUUGGAGCAUGGAAAACUGAAAAUUAAGUUCGGAGAUUGGACAAUUGGAGUUUCAAAUAGCUAAAUUUAGAAAUUGGAAUUUUGAAGAAUUGAAUUUUAAUGAUUGAGAUUUUUAAGAGAAAUAAAUAGGUAAAUAUGGAAUAAUGUUAUUAAUUAAUCAAAACGAUAUUUGGACAGAUGAAUAGUGAAUAGUGGGAUUUUUAAAUUUAAGUUUGAAAGUCGGAUCUCUGAAUAAUUGGACUCUAAUUAUUGGAAUUUUUAGAAGAAAGAAAUAAGUAAACGUGGAAUUUAUAACAAUGAUAACAAAGAUGAUAUUUGAAUGAAUAAAAGUGAAUGGUGGAAUUUUUGAGUCUCAAGGUUAAAUUUGGAAGUCCGGUUUUUGAAGAAUUGAAUUUUAAUGAUUGAAAUAAAUAAGUAAAUAAGUAUGGAGUAAUGAUACUAAUUAGCAAAAAUAAUGUUUAAACGAGUAAAAAAAUAAUAGUAGAAUUUUUCUAAUCAAGAAUUUGAAUUAGGGCGUUGGAUUUUUAAAGGAUAUGACUUUGAAUAAAUAGGUAGGAUUAUAAUACUAAUUAAUGAGAAUAAUAUUUAGGCGAAUAAAGAUGGAUAGUAGAAUUUUUUUUUUAGAUUGGAGUUUUAAUUAAGGCAUGGGGUUUUCGGAAGAUUGGACUUUAAAUAGACAUGAAAUAAAUGAUUCUAAUUGAUGAAGAUAAAAUUUAGACGAAUUGUAGAAUUUUUAGGAUUGAAAGAUUGAAUUAAGACAAGAGAUUUUUUGAAGAACUAGGUUUUAAAUAAAUAGAUGAAUAUGGGAUAAUAAUCCUGUUUGAUGAAAAUAAGAUUUAAACGAUAGGAUAAUAAUUCCAAUUGAUGAACAUGAGAGACAGAUAUUUGAAGAAUUAAAUUAAGGCAUGGGAUUUUCUUAAAAGAUUCAGAUUUUAAAUAGCUAGAUAAAUAUGAGAUAAAUAAUUCUAAUGGAUGAAAAUGAGAUUUGAACUAAUUAUUGAAUUUUUAGGAUUGAAAAAUUAAAUUUAAAUAUGGAAUGUUUGAAGGAUUAGACUUUAAGUAACUAGGUAAGUAUGGGAUUAUAAUUCCGAUUGAUGGAAACAAGGUCUAAACGAGCUUUUGAAAAAUUAAAUUGAGACAUGGGGUUUUUGAAGGAUUAGAAUUUUGACUUUAAUAAACGAGAUUUAUAAAAUAUGAUAAAUAGAUAUACACAAAAAAAUAAUAAUAAUAAUAAAUAGUUAUAAUGUUUAAGCUAGCCAAAUUGAAUAAUAUAAGCUUCAAGAUAAAACUAUAAUUAACAAUAAUAAUUUGACUUUCAAUUUUCUUUAAGAUGAGUUAACCAAAUGUAUAAAAAUAAGAUGACAAAUAAAAGGGGAUGAUUUGAUUAAUCAAUUAUGGAUAUUAGAGGUUUUGUUUUGUUUUCUUUUUAAAAUGAUUAUUUAGGAAUUGGGCAACCUGAUGGGCUAACUUGAAGUGGGCAUGGGCCACUUUAAUAAGGGGAAUUGGCAUGAGGCCUUCAUCAAUGUAAAUGGGCCUGGGCUCCAACUUAAGCCCAAGUCCAAUGCUAGCAUGGGCGGCUUCAGAGACUCAUCUCCCUCACCAACUUGUCCCGCCUGGCUGCAACCCCUUCAACAUCUCCCCGCGGCGGCGGCGGCUGACUCCAUCACGCCUGGAUGAAGCUGGCAGUCGGCGCGCGCCGCUUUCUCGGCGCGUCCACGUGCUCUACCGGCUGAGAUCGAGCUUCCUUUCUUCACGGUGGUCAUGUGCAUGUCGCCGACGCAAGCAGACGACAGCUGGUUGAGCUCUCUCUGGAUCGCUCUCCCUCCGGCAGCGACGUCGCCCGAGUCAGGUACGACGCAGGCGAGAUCGAAGGCGCGUCCUGCGCGCGCCUCGUGCCUUCUCGUGUCUACAUCGAGCAGCUCUCCAUGCUACCCCGUCGGAUUCGGGCUGCCUUGACCGCCGUGGGAGCAGUGGCUGCGGCGACGAUGCUUGGGAUUAGCACCGAUCCAGAGCUCCUCUUUAGGGGCUCAUCGGUUAUGAAAGGUGGCAGCCAUGCAUGGCUAUGCAUAGCCAUGCGAGGGGAGAGGAAUGGGUGCAGGGACGUGGAUGGGAACUAGGAUAGCUGUGGUGGGUAUUGGUAUGGGUUCAACGCAGCCAUGCAAGGGUGGAGAGAAACUGGAAGUUCUCAAUGCCAUUGAUCAAACAUCAAACCCAAGUGAGGAUCCAAUCUCUUGCAAGGGAAAAAUCAACAAAAUUGCAGGAAGCAAAAAAAAAAAAAACAGAGCAAGCAUUUUCAGGGUCUUGGAUACCCACAGCAAAUCACAAAAUAACCUUCAUAGAUUAACAGAAGACCUUACCUGAAUAUUCCACCACGUCACCUUCCUCUCUCUCGUCUGAAUCCCCCUGCGCCCCCUCUUCUUUUCUCCAAGCUUCAAAAUGUCCCCCCCCAUCACCCCCCGGAACCCCCCUUUUCUUUUUCUUCUCUUUUUCCUCUGUUUGUGUCUUCCUCAGCAAGUCAUCCUGCCUGCUGCUACCCAUCCCAUCUGGUGGCUACCCCUCAUCCCCUCUAGCUGCCCCAGAGCAGCCCGCUUGAGAGGCGGUCAGAAAAACAAUAAUAAUAAUAAUAAUAAUAAUAAGCUAAAGCUCCUGGGGGGGUGGUUUUCUACAGAAUGGUUGAAAAUAAUGAAAUCAAUGUGUAACCAAAUGGGACUAAGAAAAAUAAUGAAACCAAAAAAUUUGUCUCUAAACAGUACCAAGAAAUGAGAAUCAAAUAUGAAUUAAUCAAAUAUAGGUAAAUUUAGUUAGAGAAAUAUUAACAAUGCUUAAAGAUAUGAAUUUAAAAAAAUCUAAAAUUUUAACCAUAAUUAUCCAUGAUUACAAUAAAUAUAUAUAGGAAGGGUUGAAAAUAAUGAGAGCAAUGUAUAAGCAAACAAGACUAAGAAAAUAAUGAAACCAAAAAAUUUGUCUCUAAAAGGUAUGAAAAAAUCACAGUAAAAUAUGAAUUAAUGAGAUAUAGGGAUAAAUUUAACAACAGAAAUAUUAAUAAUGCUUAAAUAUAUGAAUUUAAGAAAAUCUAAAAUUUUGGUCAUAAUUAUUCAUAAUCACAUCAAAUAUAUAUAGUGAUGGGUGAAAAUAAUGAGAUCAAUGUAUAACUAAACUAGACUAAGAUAGAAAAUAAUAAAACUAAAAAAAUUCUCUAAAAUGUAUGAAAAAAUGAGAGUUAAAUAUGAAUUAACAUAUAUAUAUAUAUAUAUAUAUAUAUAUAUAUUUAAUUAGAAAAAUAUUGACAAUCUUAAGUAUAUGAAUUUAAGAAAAUCUAAAAUUUUGGCCAUAAUUAUUCAUGAUCACAUCAAAAAUAUAUAGGAACAAUUGAAAAUAAUGAAAGGUAUAAUCAAAUGAGACUAAAAUAGAAAAUAAUGAAACCAAAGAAUUUGUCUUUAAAAGUUACAAAAAAAUAAAAAUAAAAAAUGAGAGUAAAAUGUGAAUGAAUGAGAUGUUGGUAUAAAUUUAAUCAGAGAAAUAUUAAUAAUGCUUAAGCAUAUGAAUUUAAGAAAAUCUAAAAUUUUGGUCAUAAUUAUUCAUUAUCACAUCAAAAUAGGACGCUUGAAAAUAAUGAGAGCAAGGUAUAAUCAUACGAGACUAUGAUUAUCAAACUACUUCAAAAUCAAAAUCCUUAAUAGAAUCAAAUCAUCAAGAUGAUGUUAGUCUUUUUCAAAACAUUGAAGAAAAUCUAAGCCAAAGUUCCAAUCACCAAGAAAUAUGCAUAAAAGAUAUUUGCCGGCCAAAGACCUUAAAUGUAAUCACUAUGGAAUAAGAAUUAAUUUUAGAAUUAUUUAUUAAGGUUAAAGAUUCUUCAAUAAAAACAUAAUUAUGUGAAAUUUGUAAGAAAUCGAUUUCUAAACUAGAAAUGAAAAAAAAAAAACUAUAAAACCUUAUAACUUCUAUGAAAUCUUGACAAGAUUUAACUAUAAUUCCCUAAGAAAGUGAUUAUUAAAGAUCUUCAAUAGGAAACAAGAUGAUGUUAGAAGUUAGAGAAUUAAGACAAUACACCAACAUAUGUUUAACAAACCUUCAAGAACAAAUUAAUUAGAUAGUAAGUAAUAAGAAUCGAUCUUUAAAAAAUGCAAUGUUUCCCUAAUAAUUGUGAUUAACAAUGAGUUCAUCGCUAAGAUUAAUUGUUGUCUUAAUAGAUUCAAGAGUAGCUUCUUUAUGGCAUGCUAAUAGGUCAAACUUAAGAUUAGGUACAAUUUGUCUAAGGCUUAUAUCAAUAAUCAAGGGAUAUGCACACAACAUUUAAUUUGGUAUAAGAUUUAAGAGAAGAAAUAUUCUUGAAAUACCCUUUUUAAUUGUCUGGCCUAUCACUAGAGUAGAUGGUCAAGGUAUAAGACUAAAUUCUUAAAUCAAGAGACUCUUUUUGAAUUUGCAUAUCCUUGAAAAAGAAACCUAAAUAAAUUAAGAUCCUUGAUUAUUUCUAAAAAAAUACAGGCUAAGGAUAAUCAUAUCAAUUUUUUAGUUCAAGAAGUUAGAUCUAAGAGAAUUGAAGAACAAUUAGAAGUUAAAAAGACUCAAGAUGUUAUCCAAUAAUUCAAAGAAAAGUUGGUUAGAGAAGCCUGUCCUAAAUUCCCUAAUGUAUUUUGGCAUAGGAAUGAACAUGUUAUGGAACUACCUUACAACCUAGAAUUUAGGGAAAAUGAUAUUCCCACUAAGGCAAGACCAAUUCAAAUGAUUCAAAAACCAUUGAGAUAUUAUGAAAAGGAAAUUUAAGAACUCUUUAAAAAAUUAAUAAAAAAUCCAAAUCUCCUUUAAGUUGUGUAUGCACAAAUUUCUUGAAGUCUUGCAAAACAACCAAAAACUAUAGGAAAAAUAUAUGUGAUCAAAACUUUAUAUUAAAAUUAAUUGAUUGUGCGGUAUAGACUCAAAUAUAAUAUUCUUUACAAAAGAAAAUUUUCCCUUUAUUCAUUCACUUUGAUUACAAUCCCAAAGAUGAUGACAAGAGUCUUUUCUUGAAUUUUGAAAAUCAAUCCAAUGCCUAGAGUGAUUUUCUCAAAUGAACUUGUUAAAUGAUGAAAAACACGUAUAUACUUUUAUUGUAUAAAAGUAUAAAACACUUUCACAUUUAUUUUUAUAAUAAUUAUAUAAUGUAAUUAAAAAUAAUAAUGCAAAUUAAUUAAUAUAAUAAUUUCAAAAUAAUAAAAUACAAAAGACAUGCAAAUAAAAUUAAAUAUUAUAAUUUUUUUUUCAUUUUAUAUAUAUCCUUAUAUUUAAAUAUUAUAAAUGGUCUAUUUAAUAAAAUUUAAAAUAUUAAUAUAUUUAUAUUUCUCUUCAUCAUUUAAUUUGAUAUGUCAAAUAUAAAAAUGAAAUUAUUAAAAUUUUUAAUUAUAUAUAAUUUUAAUUUCUUAUAAUUAUUUAAAAUUUUAUAAUAUAUAAAUUAUUAUUUAUGAUGUCGAUCGAGGUCCGACCAAUGAACCAUGAACAAGUAACUUUUCUAGUUCAAUCACCAAUCCAAUUAAACAUUGAUCAUAUGACUUGUAAUACAAAAAUUCAUGGCCCCACAAUUGAUUUUUUAUUUAUUAUUUUAACCAUGAAAUGUGGGCCCCCAUGUUGUUCUUAAAUCUUAAAUAUCAAAUAAAAUGAUGAAAUAUUUUUAAAAUUUUAAUUAUUUAUAUAUAUUUUUUCACUUAUUAUAAUAAUUUUUAAUUUUCAAACCGGUUCAAUCGAGUCAACAACCAAUCCAAUUUUGAAAGCAUUGGUAAAUAUAGGCAUAAAACUAUUGGAAAUAACUCCCGCCUUUCCAAGGAAGGCCUAAACUUCCCUUCUUGCUUGCUGAAUUCUAAAUUUAAUAGCAUUGCAAACGCUGCAGAUUAAAAACACAGGUCUAGUUUUUUAUAGUUUCUAUAUUUUCAUCCUAUUAUUUAUGUCUUUGGUACUUAGAGCAGAGAUUGAAAGUGGAGGCCCAUACUGUUAAGUUGGUAACCAAGGAUGAAAGAAUAGCUCAAGGUUCUAUUACUGUCUGGAAUUUCAAAUUACAUAAAAUUGGGACGACAAAGAAAUUAAAGAAUUUAAUAUCCUAACAUCCUACGUACACAAAGAACAAAACCUUUUUUUUCAUCUUACAAUCAAAUGUUGAACUGAAAGGUUACAUACAUAAAAUAACCAACCAUCCUUGAAGAACUUGUGCUCCGAAUGACUUCUUAUCGCCUUUGGAAGUUAAAUGCCUUAAUGGCGUAGGCAAAGAUGAAUAAGAACAGCACCACAAACCCAACAACCACAGCUGCAACCACUCCCAGGAAAUCAUGUUUGAACCCAAAAUAAUCAUCCAAGAAUUGUUUCACCGUUUGAUUUUUGUCAAGUAGUGUGUCCUGUAUAUCUCCAAACUGUGAUGUAACCAAUCCAUACAAAGUCCAUGCAACUGGACAUAUCCAAUAGUACCAUCUCCACCACACCGGAAUUCUCUGUAUUCAUCAAGGAAGAAAUGCAACAAUAUGAGUCAUUUCUAUAUCCAUGUGGUAAGGAAAGUUGCAAUUUAAAGAAUCACAGGUUGAGAGCACUUACGUUUCGUGGGACUAUAAAACCUGAAAAGAGGUUCCAUAAUGUAUAAAAUGUUGCGGCAACAAUGGAAGCAAUAUUUUGAUUUGGUGUGGCAGCCACAGCCAUCAUGCCAUAGAAGGUGAAGUACAAUAACGUGAAGAACAUGAAGAACAGAUACCAGAAGAACUUAGCGGCAGUCCAUUCAAAUCCAAUCAUUGCAUAAACUAUAACACCAUACACAACAGCUUGUGCAAAUACAUAUGGAAUCUCAACUAGAGCCUGCAACAAGAGAAGAAAUUUGAUUAAAAUGCAAAACAUAUUAUACAUAUACAAAGUCUAUAGUGUAAGAAAACUAGUUACUUGUCCAAAGGCAUAUGGCAGGGCUGAAUACAUUCCUGCAGCUCUUUCUCUGUAAAAGACUGUUCGUUCAACUACAACGACUGGCUGGACCGAUUGGGCGUUCUGAACCCCAAGGAAGAGAACAGCAGCAUACAUAGAACCCAUUGCGUUUAACAGAUCUUGUUGCCUUGUCCUGCAAUUUACCACGUCAAGUAUAAAUUAAAGUUGAUAUAGAGAAACAUACUGAGUUCUCAAAUUUUUGAACCGACAUCAAAUUACCUUUCGGUGCCCAGAUCCCAGAACAUUGUCCCAAACAUCAAGGCUAUGAAAGUUGUGAAGAGAAAUCUCACUGCCGUGUAUGGUGGGUUGCGCCAGUAUGACCAACGUUGUUUCCAUAAGCAUGCCAAAAAUUGGGUGAAGAAGGGUUGGGAGUAUUGAGUAGCGAAAUAGAGGUCUUUUGUACCAGGGGCAGGUUGGCUCAGUUCUUUAAUUAAAUCUUUGUUUCUCCUGAAACAUAUGCCACUUGUUAGAACAGGUUUCAACUACAAAUUUAAGCUUUUCAUGAGAAACAUUAGGAUGGAUGUAUAUGACUUUUCAAUCUUAUUAUGCAAUUAGAUAACAUAUGGUUGAAUCACCUGUAUAGGUCUGAAUUCUUGUAUAUUUCAGUGAAAUCUACCCCCAAAGUUCCUUCUUGUGCUCCGGUGGUAACUUCCAGCAUCCAGGUUGCAGGGUUAUAACCAUCUUUGAUUUUACUGACUCCUUCAAUUCCCUUUAUGAAAGCAAGUGAUAUGUAUUAGUAAGUGCUUGAUAUGAAUUAACUCAAACUGAAGUAUUCACUUCUUAUAGCUUCUACUUUAUCAUGGCAGCUUACCUCAAAAUAAUUUAUCAGAUGGGAAGAAUGUCUACCCAGUGUUCCCACAUAUAUCUCUUGCCCUCCACGCUUCAUCAGGAGCAACUGCAAAUCCAUCUUAAAUAUUUCAGUGCCUAUAUGCAAAGAGAACAGAAGAGAAACUAUAAUUCUAUCCCUUAACAUUUCCUACCUCAUCGAAGGCCUCAAAUAUGUCAAUACUUGGCUGAUGGAUGGUGCACACAACUGUUCUUCCUGUGUCCACUGUGUUUCUGACUGUUCUCAUAACAAUUGCAGCAGCUCUUGCAUCUAGCCCUGAAGUUGGCUCAUCCAUGAAUAUUAUUGAGGGAUUUGCCACAAGCUCAACUGCAAUAGUCAGCCUCUUGCGCUGCUCGGUUGAGAGACCAUUUACACCUGGCAACCCAACCAGUGCAUCCCUCAAUGGGGUCAGUUCCACAAGCUCCAUGACUUCCUCAAUGAACAUCUGUAACCAUUAGCAAUGAUUAUGAAUUGUUUAAAAAACGUUGCAAACCAUAGUAGAGAUGGUAAAAAAUUUGACACUGCUUGUGACUCUUCUGUUAGCAGGUUGUGAAGAGGUUUCCCUAGUCUUACUAAAUGGAUCGGUUAGUAGAUGCAAAUGCUCAAUAACACUCAUUAGCUUGCAUGAACUUCACCCAAUUGGAUUAAAAGUCAGUGAAACUUGAACCAGCACUUUUUCCCAGGUGAAGGUCAAUCCAAACUUGAACCUGACCUUACCUCAACCAAGUAUAAAAAGUCAAUUCUAGGGCUUUGCUUGUUUAGAGCACUAAAUUGAACAAGAAAAAUAUGGAAACAAUUAAGAAGACUCCUACCUUUCUGGUUUCAGAAUUCACAUCAGAAGGCAACCGCAGCCAAGCUGAGUAGAGCAAGGACUCAUGGACAGUAACAUGAGGAGAGUGGAUGUCAUUCUGCUCACAGUAUCCAGAAAUUCGAGCAAAAGUCUCUUGCUUCUUUGGGUAGCCAGAAAUAGUGAUGUUACCCUCAAUAUAUCCACCGGUUUUCCGACCAGCCAGUACAUCCAUGAGAGUGGUUUUACCAGCACCGCUAACACCCAUCAGAGCUGUAAGAACACCAGGCCUGAAAGCACCACUCACCCCUUUCAGAAGCUCCAGUCUGUCUUCAAGGGCACCUUGACUUUUCAUUUCCUGCAAGUUCAUUUCAAACAACUCAGUUCUCAUUUCUGGUUUAUAGUACAUUAUGAAAAAACUUCAGUGCUGCUAAAACAUAUGUCAUCAUUUGAAUAAAUAUGACUUUACCUCUGGCAUGUCAACUGAGUAUCUAAUAUCAUCAAAAGUGAUUGAAUGUGGUUGGAAUGGAAGAACCAUUCCUUUCUUCUUAUUAUGAUUAGCCUCAGCAAUGGCUUCUACCAUUUGCUCUCCCCGCUCUGCAUGUCAAGUUUAAAUUCAGUGAGCCAUAUAAAACAUGUAGUUAAAUGACAAGAAUUGAGUCAUACAAAGGCAUGCAUGCAUGCACCAUGUAUGAGUUUCAUCACCUGUGGUUGCAGUUUUGGCAUUGUCAGACUCUUCUAUUAUAACAGCUUGAGGCUUCUCAAAUGCUGCACAAUUUGCACAAUGUUAGUACACUAAGCUCAUAUUUUUAGGAGUUUCAAUGCAGAGAAGGUACAGAUACCCACGAUUUAGGUAAUUAAGGCAGAGGGUGUAAAAGAUGUUGAAAACAAAUAUGAAUCCAAGCAGUGCCCCAGCUCCUAUCCAGUACCAGUGUGCGUCUGUGAAGAACCCACGAGACUUCAAUACUGUGACUCCAAGGGAUUCUGUUGAAUCGGUGACAUUCUGAAAUAUGGAAAUAAGUACAAUCAUCAGUUACUGACACACAUAAAUAAACACAAAUAUUCACAUGGAACAUUCGAGAACUUACUUUGCUCCAACUCUUCCCAAGGAAUUCAUUUACCACUAUUGCAUUCUGUGCAUACAUCAGAGGGGAAGACCAGUAACCCCAAAUCCACCAUUUCUUGACAUUAUCUGCACCAUUGACCAAAUAAAAAAGGAAACAAAAAUUCAUUAUCAGGGGUUAUGCACAAGAAGGUUCUAUGUUUCCUAAAAAAAUAUUUCCUCAUCAUACCAUAUGACAGGAUAAAACCACCCAAUGCCAAGAGCAUAAGUAAAGCAAAUGCCCCAAAUGUGUUUGCAACAAUCAUGUUUCUACCGGCUGCUGCUAUAAAUCGAAAUAAUCCAGAUGCCAUCUGAUUAACAAGCAAGAGGAGAAGAUACUGUCUAAACAACCUGCAAUAAGGAGAUUUGUUUAUUCAGCAUUAAUCAUUUUGGAACAGAGAAAACAUGUAAAAGAAAUCUGGAUAAGUUUCUGCAACUUCAUAACUUUUUAACUUUUACCUUUCCACAUUUGGAUCAAAUCCAAUGACGUAGUAAGUGAUGAACACCCAAACACCAACUUCAACAAAUGUGAUGGGGAUCUUGAGCACCCAUGUGGGAAGAGCAUAUGCCCAUGCAGGAUAGAAGAGAAGGUCUCUUUGCUUGUAAAAGACAGGAAGUUUUGCAAUUGCCAUGGCAAGUUCUGCCAUUCCAUUAAACAUGAUCAUGACAACAGUGAAGAACAAAGCACCCGUGUAAAUGUUUCCAUCAUCUGUUGAAUUUUUGUGCAUCUCAGUUCUUAGGAAGAGUGUCAUUGCAAUCACUGCCAUUACUGCAAGCUAAAAAUAGAAAUAAAAAUAAUAAAUUACAAUCACAUAUACAAAAUUAAAAGCCAUAGUUAUAAGUAGCAAUAAUAAUNNNNNNNNNNNNNNNNNNNNNNNNNNNNNNNNNNNNNNNNNNNNNNNNNNNNNNNNNNNNNNNNNNNNNNNNNNNNNNNNNNNNNNNNNNNNNNNNNNNNCAGAUAGGAGAAUGAUGUCAUCAAAAAGAUUGUAAGUCUCAGGUGCUGGCUGGAGGAGAGAGAUGACAGCAGUCCCAUUGAGAAUAUGGAUGGUUUGCUUGAGAGAAUUGAUGAUUUGAUAAGUUGUUGAGCUGUCCAAGCCAGUAGAGAUCUCAUCCAUGAACAGUGCCUUUGAUGGUCCGACCAGCAUCUCACCUAUUAUUCAUACAUUUCACAUAAUUGAAUUAAAUUAAAUUAAUGAACAAAAAAUCUAAUUUGAUUUGUUCUUUCAUUUAGUUAGAAACCAAAUUAUUCCACCUGUUGUGACACGCUUCCUUUGUCCUCCAGAGAUACCCCUUAUCAUCUCAUCUCCUACCAUGGUAUCUGCACAGAUGUCUAGUCCCAGAAUCUGUAGAUUUAAAAGUAAAGAAAAACAAACAAAUCAUGAAUUAGAAUUGGGUUUUCUCAGAAAUCUAUAUGCCAUCAUUGAAAGUUUUAUGGUUCUAAUACCUUCAAUGUAUAAUCAGUGACAACAUUUUCCUUCUGACCUUCUGUUGCUGCUGCCUGAAAUAUUGGAAUCCAAUGAUGAAAAUGUCAACCACCAUGGAAGCAACUUCAGUACAUUAAGAAAUUUCAUAGAUAAAAGAUUCCGACGUAGCAUAAAAUUCACAAAUUAGAUUGACUCAAGCCAUUCAUUUGAGUACAAAAAGAAAGAAACAAACUCCAGAACAGACAGAACACCGACAAUACAAAGCCAUUUUGCCCAUCUAUGUCAGAAUUCAAAAUUUAAUUUCUGGAAAAGAGCAGUAUCCAUGUUCACUAAAAGCAAAUAGCUCAAUUUCUGCAGAGCUGAUUAAAAUUUCACAAAAAGUAGAUUCUGUCUCACCUUCAUGAAGACAUCAAGAUCAGGAUCAGGCUUAAUAUUUGCUGCUUUCUCUCUUCUUGACAGCUCUGCUAACAUGUCUGCAGAUGGCAAAAAUAAGAGUCAAUCUUCUAGGCUACGGAAAUGUCAUAAAAUUGCAUUCACAACCUGCAAAAAGCAGAGAAAAUAAAAGCAAAGGCAAUGGUUUAGACUAACCAUAUCGAUCUCCAACACCCUGGCAUCUUGCAGAGAAUGCCAAGGUUUCCCUUACAGUCAUUUCUCCUAUAUGGGUAUCAUGUUGGCUGAUAUAGGCUGCAGUUCUCUGGGGUACAAACUCAUUCAUGCCAUGGCCGUUGUAUGUCACCCUUCCCAUAACCUAAAGAAGGAAUUUCAGUUUUGAAAUUGGAUAUGAGAUUAAAGAAAUAAAAAAUCAAACAUUCCAUAAAGAAUGGAGGAGUAAUAAUCAUUUUCUUUCAACCUUUAGAUUGGGAUCAAGCUUUCCAGCCAAUGCCAAUAAGAGGGUGGUCUUUCCAGAACUUGGAGGACCUAAAAGCAAAGUCAAUCUGCAGAAGAAAAAUAUGCACAAAAAUCUUGAGUAUGGAUCCUCGGGACAUUCUAAAUUUGAAGAACGAAAAAAUCAUUUGAGUUAUCAAUCCAUUUUUUACUAGAAACAAAUUCAUUCUCACCUGCGUGGUUUGAUGAUUCCACUAACAUCAUUGAGAAUAGUGAAUUUCCUCUUUUUACUUGGAAGAAUGCGCACAGCGUUCAGGAUACCCUUUGGAAAAGAAGGGAAAAUUAGAUCUAAAAACAAACUUACUUAAAAGAAUACUGAGUACAGAAGUAAUGAUCAGCAUUUGCAUGAAGUUACCUCAAGUUUACUAAAAAUGAAAUUAUGGAAUGAAGGCAAAGCUCUGCUUCCUACAAAAGCUUCUGCAUCGAUGGUAAGAUGCUCAAAUCUAACUUCAAUUUCGGGAACAUCAAUUCCAACUCUGAAAAAAUGGAAGAAUCAUGAAAACCCAUUAUCAAAAAAUUCAAAGGAAGAUGUUGCUUGGCUGUGGAGAAAAUGUGGGAAACACUCAUGAGGCAUAUUUCAGGUCAAGUUUUCAUUUUUUUUUCCUCUUUAUGUUCUUCUGUUUUCAAUGUUCAAAAACAAAUGGCAAGGAAUGCAAGAAAGGAGGAGAAAUCUCACCUAUCGAUACGAUUCUUGAGCUUCAACAAGAACUUCUCAUUGUCCUCUUCAGCGACUUUUACCAACCGCUCCACUAAAUUCUUCUUGUCCUGAAACCCAAGGUUAUGGAUAUCAAUUUCACUGGCCUCACCCUCGGAUCCCAUCAGCAAACCUCUCCUCAACCGAUUGUAGGUGGGAAGUUUCUCGAGUGCGGCCCAUUUCAAAGCUUCCUCAUCAUCCUCAUCCCUCGAAGAUCGGGAGAAAACAUCCGCACCGGAGCUCCUCCAUAUCGAAGAACCGUUCCUCCUUAAACUACCACUGGCUCUAUAAAUG
This 70275-nucleotide long non-coding RNA is filed under the name Vitis vinifera (wine grape). RNAcentral's name for it is "long non-coding RNA (VVIN_LNC002782)". Lineage: Eukaryota; Viridiplantae; Streptophyta; Magnoliopsida; Vitales; Vitaceae. The record is from RNAcentral.